Molecule: long non-coding RNA, 64103 nt
Filed under: Ananas comosus (pineapple)
Lineage: Eukaryota; Viridiplantae; Streptophyta; Magnoliopsida; Poales; Bromeliaceae
Description: long non-coding RNA (ACOM_LNC041901)
Source: RNAcentral
UUUGAUCAAGUUUGAACAUGAUUGUGAUUUGACUCUAGUUUUAUAUGCUAGAGAAUCAAAUAUUUUGGGAAUUGGGAUGUUCAUGAAAAUUGAAUUUGAGUUUAGUUUAACGACAUUUCGGUCGAUAUCGGAUUUAGGUUUAGUUUAACGACGUUUCGGUCGAUUGAUUUGGUGGAUUAGUUUAACGACGUUUCGGUCGAAGGUUUGGGUUUGGUUCACAAGGUUUAUGGUAUUGGGUAUAUGGGAUUAUGGUUCAUGAACUUAGAUAUGGUUCAUGGGUUUAUGGUUCAUGGACUUAUGGUUUAUGGGUUUGGUUCAUGGGCUUAUGGUUCAUGAACUUGUGGUAUGGUUCAUGGGUUUAUGAACUUGUGGUUCAUGGGCUUAUGGUUCAUGAACUUGAUUCAUAGUUUGUGGAUUUGGUGUAUGGUAUGGUCCACAGGAUUUGGUAUAUGGUUUGGUCCAUGGUUUUAGUUCAAAGUUCAUGGACUUGGUUAAGGUUAUGGGCUUGGAUAUGGGUUAAAUGUGUAUGGGUUUAUGGGUAAAUGUAUAUGGGUUUAUGUAUAUGGGUUUAUGGGUUAAUGGUUUUAAUGAGUUUUGGAUAAUGGGCUUAGAUAGUAGGCCUAAAUGGGUUUUGGACCGGGGCCAUUUGUAAAUGGGCUCUGGGCUUUGGACUAGGCCUAGAUUUAAUUGGAUUGGGUUAUAGUAUAUGGGUUUAGAAUUGGGCUAAGGUUUAAUUGGAUUGGGUUAUAGGUUUGGGUUUUGUAGAUUGGCUAUUGGGUUUGAUUUGAGCUGAAAUCGAGCCCGUAAAGCUAUAUGUAAAUAGGCUAUAUGAUAUGGAUUCUGGUGGGCUAAAUUCAGGCCCAUGAACCCGAUUUAUUUCAUUUUGGAUAUGGAUUCGGGCUCAAUACGGGCUCAUUUCAUUUUGUAUUCGGGCUCAAAAUGGGCCAAAUCAUUUUGAAGUGGAUAUGGAUUUAAUAUGGGAUUUAGAUUUGGGCUCAAUAUGGGCUCAAUUGGAUUUAAAAUGAGCUCAAUUUGUAUGUGAAUUUUAGGUUUAUUUGGGUUUAGGAUUUGGGAUUGGUUUGAUUAUGGAUUUGGGCCUUGGACUUUGGAUUGGGUUUUGAUAUGGGUUUGGGCCUUGGACUUGGGAUUGGGUUUUGAUAUGGGUUUGGGCCUUGGACUUUGGAUUGGGUUUUGAUAUGGGUUUGGGCCUUGGACUUUGGAUUGGGUUUUGAUAUGAGUUUGGGCCUUGGACUUUGGAUUGGGUUUUGAUAUGGGUUUUAGGAUUUGAAUUCGGAUUUGGUAUUGGAUUUGAUUUGGAUUUGGAUUCGAGUCGGGUUUGGAUUCGAAUUUGGAUUCGAAUUCGAAUUUGAUUCGUAUAAUUUUGUCGAGUUUGAAUUUGAGUCUAUAUGAAAUCAAAAUAUUUCGGUAUCUGAUUCAAAAUCAAGUUCAUCCAAGUUUGUCAAUUCCUCAAUCGUAUACGAUAUCCAACCAAUUUGAUCUAAUUCGAUCAAAUUGAACAGUUCCAUUAUUUUCGAACACUAUCAAAUCAAAAGAAUAUUAAUAAAAAAUCUAAUUAAUUUUCUUUUAUUUCUCCACUGAAAGAGAAUUAAGAGAAUAUUUUUUCUCUGUCUCUUAAAAAAUAAGAUGCAUCAUUCAUCAUCAUCAUUUUUUUACAUCUUGGGGACAACUAAGGUGGGAAGAUCCCUCCUUUGCCUCCCUCUUUUUUUUUACAAAGCUCCCUCUCUCUUUCAUAAUCAUGAUUAGAGAAGUACUAUCUUUCUCUCUCUCUCUCAAAUAUAUAUUUUUUGAAGAGCACCGCUCUUUCAUUUUUUAUAAAGAGAAGAGCACCGCUCUCUCUCUUUAUUCGCCGCCGAGCACUUGGCGGGCGGAUCUAACUUCAUUUGAGAGGAGAGCACCGCUCUCUCUCUCUCAGGUUCGCCGUCGAGCGGUUGGUGGGCGGACUCCGGGUACAUCGAGCACUUGGCGGGCGGAACCGGGCGGAACCCGUUUGAGAGGAGAGCACCGCUCUCUCUCUCAGGUUCGCCGUCGAGCAGCUGGCGGGCUUUGUUGAUGACGGAGCUCCGGUUUCAUUCAGGAAUUUCGUCGAACAGUUGGUAGGCAUGGUUCGUCGGUGCGAACUCCGUCAAAGCGACAUCCUGGACAUUUCAUCAAACAAGUGGUGGACGUGUCCCGUCGGCGUCCACUCUGCCAGAACCAUGUCCUAAUCAGCUUUGUAGGUGGCGAGGGUGUUCUCGGUGGCCUCCUUCUACUCGGCCCCGGUCUUGAACUCGACGUCGAUUCAAAUGGUAUCAUCUUCGUCAUGGAGGAUCAAGGAUCCGUUGGCGGUGCACGAGAUGCAGCGGUUGCUGGCGGAAAAGAAGAAUUGCUCACUGCGGACUUAAAUCGAACACCUGGUGUGCGGGGGAUGAAGCAGGAGAGGAGCAGGAUGAGGAAGGAGCAGGUGGCCUCGGCGGUACAGAGGUCAGCGAGGAACAGGCAGCCUCGGAACGGGCAGCCUCGGAGCGGGCGACCUCGGAGGGGGCGGCCUCGGAGCGACGACCUCAGCGGCGCAAGGGUCGGCAAGGAGGCGACGUCUUCAGCGGCGCAGGGGUUAGCGAGGAGGCGGCAGCCUCGGGUAGUUGAAGUUGGCGAGGAGCGACGCGGCCUCGGGCGCAGGGGUCGGCGAGGAGCGACGGCCUCGGGUAGUUGGGGUCGGCGAUGAAGCGAGCGGCUUCGGCGGCGGAUCGGCGAGGGAACAGCCGGAAGCAAGCGGCGACCUCGGUAGACGGAUCAGCGCGGAAGCGGGCGGCUUCAAGCAGAUCGGCCGCGGGUGGCGCGGCUUCGAGUCGAGGACGGCAGCGGUGGCGCUUCAAGCAGAUCGGCCGCGGGUGGCGCGGCUUCUAGUCGAGGACGGCGAGCUCGGUGGAGUCCGCGGCCAUGUGCGCAGAGAAGUCGAGGAGCGGCGGCGAUGGCGGCUCGUGGUGACGUCGGAGUCGAUGCCGUCGCGGAGAUCGCAAAUGAGUUUGGGGCGAAGUCCGCGGCCAUGCGCGCGGAGAUUGUCGAGAAGUGACGCCCCGGGCCGAGGCGUCUCGGAGUGACGUGGGCAUGUCUCGGAGCAGACGACCUUAGCGGCGCGGUGCCUCGGAGCAGACAAGGGGGGGGACCUUGGAGCGAGCUCGACGGUCGGUGCGGUUCGGCUUUGGAGCAGACAAGGGGGCCUUGGAGUGAGCUCGACGGCCGGUGCGGCUCAGCCGCAGCAUGGACGGCCUUGGGCUCGAAGGUGGUGCAGCUCGGCCUCGGUUGGAGAGGGAUGACGCGGCGGGUGAUGGAGCAGAUCGGCCGCGGGUGGCGCUUCAAGCAGAUCGGCCGCGGGUGGCUUCGAGUCGAAGACGGCAGCGGUGGCGGCUUUAGGCAGAUCGGCCGCGGGUGGCGCGGCUUCGGGUCGAAGACGGCAGCGGUGGCGGGGACACGGCGGAAGGGCUCGGCCGACUCCAUGAUGAGCUCGGUGGAGCUCGGUGGGGUGCUCGCGGAGCUUCGGCGGAAGCGCGAGGAGCGCGUCGCGGCUCGAUCGGCAGAGAAGUCGGUGGAGCGCCUCGGCGCGGAGAGCUCAAGGAACUCGAGCGCACGGAGACAUCGAGGAGGCGGCGAGGGCAAUGUCGUCGAGGGCAGGGGCUCGGCGGAGGAAGCAUCGGUGAGUGCUUGAGAGAGAGAGAGAGAGAGAGAGAGAAAGAAAAGAGAUCUCAGAGAUCUGAGAUCUCUUUUUUUUUCUUUUCCUUCUUUCUUCUUUUUUUUUUUUUUUAGCCGAGAGAGAGAGCUUUGUUUUCUUCUUUCUUUUUUCUUCUUUUUUUUCUUUUUUUUUUUUGAACGGGAGAAAGAGAUAAUAUAUUUUUUUUACCUUUUCUUUUUUUUUUUUUUUUUGCGAUCGACAGAAUAGGGUAGAAAUUUUUUUUUAGAUUUCGCAGAUUCAAAAACUCUCUCUUGUUUGAUUUUUCGAGGGGUAUUUAUGGAGGUGGUUGUAACCAACCUGAGGGAGACGUGCGGAUGGAUCGUGGGAUGCGGGUGGUUGUAAACAAUUUGAGGGAAACGUGCGUAUGAAUCGUGGGAUGGUUAUGGGAUCGUGGGUAAUCGUGAUAGGAUUGUGGGAUGAUGGGUGGUGGGUAUAGGUUGUUACGAUAGUAUCGUGGGAUUGUGGGAGAGAUUUUGGAUGGUUGAGAUGAGAUUGUGGGGUAUUUUGGACGGUUGUGAUGAGAUUAUGAGAUAUUGGGUGGUUAGGAUGGGAUUGCGGGAAUAUUGCGGAUUAGUCCUUUCCCUUUGAUCAUAUUACAUCUUAAUAAAAAUAUUAUAUGAUUAAGGUGGGGCAUUUUGUAAAUAUAUAAAAGGGAAUAGACUAAUAUGCUAUUUUAUAUUCCCGUACGUAUUAUUUUUUUGCAAUCCGGUGCAUGGGAUAUUUUCAAAAUUUAAAUUUUAUCCAUGCACCUGGUGCAUAGAUGAUCUCAUAAACCAUCUCUAUUUAUUAUUUUCUCUCUCCCCUUUUUUCUUUUUCUUCUUUUAUUCCUCUCUCUUUUUUUAUGCUUCAACAAAUGCCCCCCACCUUUUCAAGCUUGUGAUUUAAACAAGGUGGAAAAAAGUGCCGAUCUCCUUUCACUAUUCCGACCUUCAUAUCGCCAUCCGGGGUUUGAUCAUCAAAGAUCCAAGGUAUUUAUAUAUUUCGUUUUUUUGAUCUCUUUUGAUGUUAUAUAUACAUAUUUGCAUUCAUAUUUGAGAUCUGUACGAGACAUAUUCAAACCUCUGAAUAGAUUUCGUAAUUUUUUCUAGAUCAUGGGAAAAACGAAUGAACCAUUAAUUCAUCCCGAUGAUAGAAAUUUAGGCGUAUUUAGAGGACUUUCUUUAAUGCGUUCGCCUCCGAUAUUUGGGCGUUCCGCUGAACCCGUCAUUCCUUAUGAGACGCCUAUGUUAAAAGAAUGGGCGAUAUUUAAGCAGAAGCAAUUAUUGGGUCGUUUCGGAGUUGAUUAUUAUGCUCCCGAUUGUGACGGCGACGUCAUAUUAUUGCCCCCUAUAGGACCUCCGAAAGAAAGAGACACGUUACAAUCUCUCGGCUAUAAAAUACUUAAUAAUCAUCCUGGAUGGUGUGGAAUGAGUAGGGUUUUAGGGGACAGCAUUGAGGUAGAGGGUUUAAUUGAAUGGGGAAAUCAUAUCAUCUCUCAUUACACCACAUAAUUACGUCGUGCUGGCAUUUUAGGGGGUAUCGUAGCUUCACGAGGGAGAUACAAUAAGAAUAUGAAUAUCAUCAAGGCAUUGGUAGAGCUGUGGUGUUCGGAGACAAAUACUUUUCAUCUUCCAUUUGGUGAAGUUGGGAUUUCUUUAUGGGAAAUUAGAGAACUCGGUGGGCUCCCGAUUAUCGGUGACAUGUACGACGAAUAUAUCCCUCCAAAUUCUGAACUUUAUAGUAAGAAUAAUUAUCCCAGUUGUGUUAGGGAGCUUUUUGAUGUUUAUCAAUGGCUCAUGGCUCGAUCUUCUAACAAGCGUGUGCGGUAUGAUUUAUGGGUAGAUUUCUUUUACACAAGCUGUAAAAAGUUGACUAAGUCUAAGUCUCGGAGUAUAAGCAAUAGAGAGCUCGCUCCCUCAUAUACGGAAGAUACGACUCGAGCGGCCUUCAUUUCUUUAUGGUUAUGCAACUUCGUAAUGCCUUCUGGAUUAGACCAUUUCAUCAGGCCAGAGACGUUUAUUAUGGCUUCUAAGCUGGCAUUAGGUGAGAAAGUUGCUUUAGCCCCUGCCAUUCUUUGUGCGAUCCAUGCUGGUUUAUCAUUUAUGAGUGAUCACCCUGAAGGACCUGCGCAUCCUGGACCUCAAUUUCCCGUUAAUUUUCUAUAUGCGUGGAUCGGUCUUCACUUUGAACAGACUUAUUCUAGAAAGGUGAUUAGUGAGAAUAUCAAGAAUAUCGUCGGCUUACGAAGUCCUCCUCAAAUGAUAUUUUUUAUGGACGCGGCGGCUUCUCCUUUUAAUGCUAAGCGAGCACGGAUUUACCUCAGGUCGAGUGCUCAUUUUGUUUGGCGUCCUCUACCAUAUUCUUAUUCUUUUGUUGAUGACGGUUGGCUUUACGAUGCGAAAUUGGCUCCAGGAGAGUGUAAAUAUCCGAGAGAGGUUUAUGAGUAUAUAAUUUCUAUCAGACAGAGCGUGCUUCCACUUCGUUUGGGGAAUAAAUUACACACCCAGCCAUAUAAUCCUCAUCGUUUUGCUCGACAAUUUGGCUUUGAUCAGUCUUUUCCUGAAAGUAUCACUGUUCCCCGAUUAGCGAGCCAUCUUGGGAUACUUGCUGGAUGUUGGAAUCAUUUCAUUCGCUAUGGGACUUCUAUUAAUUAUUUCAUACCGAAGAAGGACCGGAUUGGGAAACCAACUUUGCAUUAUGCGCGCUGGUGGUCUAAUAGUGUGCAUUCGAGCUUCAAACACGGAGUAGGCUAUCUACUGAGUGCAGAUGAUCCCCGCAAGCAGCAGAACAAGAAGAGUAUUGUUUUAAAGGAAAGUUCAGCUUCUGCAAGGAAAUUGGGUUCUUCGGGUAUUAUCGCUGAAAGAGCACUAGAUUCUCUGGGGCCAGAGGCGGAGCAGCUCGACUUAUUUCCAGAGUAUGAUCAUGUUCAAGUUGGUCCUUCCGAUGACUCUCCUAGAUAUGAAGUUCUUGGUCUCAGUUUCCCCAUUCAUGAAGACAAGACAUCAGAGGUAUGUUCAUUAACAUUUUCAAUUAUCUCUUUUUUUUUCUUUUGCGUUCUGACCUUCUUCUUUUUUUUCUGUAUACAGGAAGUGUUUGUUACAGGUUCGCCUGCCGGGGAUAAAAUACACUUGCAAGACCCUUCAGUGAAGUCACAGGUAUGACGUAGAAUCCAUAUAAUUUAAAUUUUGUUGAUUCCUUCUGACAUCCUUUCUUUCAUGUAGGCAUGCGAUAUGGAACCGUCAAGGAGCUCAGAAAAUCUACCCUUGGAUGUUCCAACUAAAGUGGCUCGUGGAAAAGUUCCCAUUACGGUGUCUUCAAUGAUAGGUAAUUUUUUAUAUUCAUAUUCUGUUAGUAAUUAAUUUUACAUGAUGUCGCCGCACUUGUUCUUUGCUUUUUUAAUUCACAGAAUCACAAGCUGGCGGGAGUGGAUCCAUUGAGGAUGACGUGCCUUCAGAUGAUGAGUUGGUUCUGACGCCUUCGCCACCACAGGUAUUUUAUUUUCUAGUUGAAUCCAUGUCCCUUCUUUUGGUUUCAAAUUAAGAAUUUGAUUCUCAACUAAAGAAGGAGGUAAAAUAUGGAUAAUAAUGUGUAAUUUUUUGUCAGGAAUCCGUAGCAACAAAAAUUUCGCAAAUCGGAGUUAAAACGAAAAUGUUAUGGCCCGUUUACACUUUGGUCCCUGUAUUUACGAAACAGUCCCUGCGGGCAGUUUCAUUUCAGUUCCUGCAGUUUUAUUUUAGUCCCUGCAGCUUCAUUUCCCUUACUUUUUGAUGCAGAAAAUUACCUUCAAGGAAUUUUAUGGCUAUAACGAUGCACAUUUUGGGAUUAAAAUAUUAUAACCCCUUUCAUAAUAUAUUCGUUAUUCCUUGUUUUUACAAAAUGGUCCUUGUAGCAUAUAUCGAUAUGUGAUUCUUUUUGUCACAGGAUCCGCUCACCGCUGCUGCUGAUAUUGGAGCGUCAUCUUUCAAGGAGGCUUGCUUGACUCAUCAUGAAGUAUAUUUGUAUUUAUUAUCCCAACUUUCAUUUUAUAUCGCUCAUGUUUACACCGCAAUUUUAUUGUGUAGGAUGAGGGUGCUGAAGAAGAUGACGAUAUAGUAGAAGAUGGCAAAAAUGAAGUCUUGCCAGGAUCGUCUUUACUUGGUAAAAGAGAACGAGUCGAUGAUAUUCCGGCUACAGAGGUGCAUAAAAGAGCUCGUUUGGAGGCUGAUUCAAAAUCAACCGGUAAAAUCCUCCCCUCUUUUUUUUAAAAGACAGUAUCUUUUACAUAUUUAUUAUUUCUUUUUAUAUGCAGACCUUCCGGUAGAGUCAAAAUUGGAUUAUGAUCUGAUAGACGCUUUAUCACCUUAUGGCGACGAAGUGGACUACGAGCCUACACCUUCACCACCUGAAGCUCCUGAUAUGGUAAGAUUUAAAUAUUUUCUUCUUUCUUUUUUUUCUUUUUUUUUUUUUUAAUUCUUUUCUUUCUCUUUUUAUAGGGCGUACCACUUGACGAGGACGUCGGCAUUAACGUGAGUAGCGGUACAGGAGGUUUCCAGAGUGAGGUGCCUAUUGCGGUCAGAUCAUUUUUGAUUGACCGCAUAACGGAUAUCAUGAAGACAUUCGACCGUCGACGAUUCAGAUCAGCUCGAGAGGAAGUGUCCAAGUAUUGUCAGUGCAUUUCCUCACUUGGAAUUGAUGUAUCUGAAUUGGAUGGGCGUAUAAAAUCCGUGUUUGAUCAUGCCGAGGUCAUUGAAGAAUUAGAGUCAAGUCCGAGUUUCGCUUCAGCUGUUCGGCUCGUGAAUGCUGAUGAGGAUCUGGCGCUAAAGAAAAGGAAGCUUGCUUCUCAUAUCAGCACAAAAAGUUCUAUUCUCAAAGCUUCAGAAGGUGUCUCUUUGGAGCUUCAGCAGACUAGAGAGAAAAUAAGAGAGCUUGAGGAGCACAUUUUGCAGUUAAAGAGUACAGAAGCAGAGUUGUCAUUUAAACUCGAAGUGGCCAACGACUCUUUAAAGAAAUUAACGCCGACUGAAGAAGAACUGCAGAAGGACGUUGCUGAUGCGGAGAGGGAAUAUGCUGCAGCCACUGAAGAUUGUAAAGCUUCCAAAGAAUCCGCCGGUCUCCGAGGAUUGAUAGAGCUAUUUGAGGAGCGUCGUCAGAUAUUUGAGAUUUGAUUUUCCUUUACUUUUCUCUUUUUGGAUGUUUAUCGUGGAUGUUAUCUUUAUUUGUCACUAGUAUGAGACAGUAUUUGAUAAUUUGAAUGACUUUGAUUGUGCUUGAAUGUUUGAUCUCUUCCUCCUGUCUUUAUCUCAUACUGCAUUGUGACGAUGAUUGUCUUGCGAGGAUGGUUUGUUUCUUUUGCCUUGAUUCUCACGUACAAUCAACUCUAAAUUGAGUCAUCACUCUGUUGUCUGGACAAAUAUGCUAUCUUCUCAGCGCUCUUGUAGCGAUAACAUGUACACUGCCCCUUUUUUUUUUUUUUUUACAUCAAAAAAAAAAAAUGGUCAAUCGAAAUUAAAAUAUUCAGUUUAACGACAUGGCGGUCAAAUUACAUCAAAAUGCUCAGUUUAACGACAUGGCGGUCAAAUUAUAUCUGAAUGCUCAGUUUAACGACAUGGCGGUCAAAUUAUAUCAAAAUGCUCAGUUUAACGACAUGGUGGUCAAAUUACAUCAAAAUACUCAGUUUAACGACAUGACGGUCAAAUUACAUCAAAAUGCUCAGUUUAACGACAUGGCGGUCAAAUUAUAUCUGAAUGCUCAGUUUAACGACAUGGCGGUCAAAUUAUAUCAAAAUGCUCAGUUUAACGACAUGGCGGUCAAAUUAUAUCGAAAUGCUGCCUUUUGAAAGCAAUCGAAAUUGCUGCGCAUAACCGACACUAUGGUGAGUUAGCAUUCCGUCAUAAGCAAAAUAUAUUUUGGGUAAUAGAAAAUAUGAAUUAUUUUUAUUUAUUUUGCCUUGAGGAGCAAUCGAAAUUGCUGCGCAUAACCGACCCUAUGGUGAGUUAGCAUUCCGUUAUAGGUAAAAUAUAUUUUGGGUAAUAGAAAAUAUGAAUUAUUUUAUUUAUUUUGCCUCGAGAAGCAAUCGAAAUUGCUGCGCAUAACCGACCCUAAGGUGAGUUAGCAUUCCGUCAUAGGCAAAAUAUAUUUUGGGUAAUAGAAAAUAUGAAUUAUUUUUAUUUAUUUUGCCUCGAGAAGCAAUCGAAAUUGCUGCGCAUAACCGACCCUAUGGUGAGUUAGCAUUCCGUCAUAGGCAAAAUAUAUUUUGGGUAAUCGAAAAUAUGGAUUAUUUUUAUUUAUUUUGCCUCGAGAAGCAAUCAAAAUUACUGCGCAUAACUAACCCUAAGGUGAGUUAGCAUUCCGUCAUAGGCAAAAUAUAUUUUGGGUGAUCUGGCGCCCAUAUGGGUUUUCACCAGAUACCUUCCCCUAACUUUUGCCUGUGAGCCUCGAAAGGUUUUCUCACAGCGGGGAUCCCAAUUUUGCCUGUGGGGUUAUACCACAGCCGGGAAUUUUUUGCAUUUUUACCCUUGAAGUCCAAUAUGGACAAUCAAGUCCGCUGGUGGCUCAUCUUUUACCCAUAUUAUCUAAAAAAAAUUAGAUAACAUGUCCUCCAUUUUUUUUAUUUUAUACAUAAUAUUUCUUUAAGAAACGGCCGUUGAUAGGUGGCAUUGGCCUUUCACCUUUGGCGUCAAUUAAUUGGUAGGCACCGCCUUCAUAAGCUUUCUCCACCACAUAUGGGCCUUCCCAAUUUGGAUCAAACUUCUUCCCAGUAUGUUUAUUGAUUAUAAUCGGUCUGCGAAGAACGAGCACCAGCUCCCCAACACUAAUGGUGCGGUACCGGGUAAGUUUAUUAUAUGCGCUUGCCAUUUGGGCUUGAUAUAGUUCCAAAUUCUGUUGGGCAGUCAACCUGACUUCAUCCAAUGCAUCUAGCUCAUCAAGCCUUAGUAGAGCAUUUUCUUCAUUUGUUAACUCGUGUUGAACUGCUAUUCGUAAUGAGGGCAAUUCAACUUCUAAUGGUAAUACCGCCUCAACACCGAACACCAAGGAAUAGGGUGUUGCUUGAGUUGGCGUUCUGUAUGUGGUCCGAUAGGCCCAUAGAGCUUCGAUGAUCCGCAUAUGCCAUUCCUUUUGAUUUUUGCCAAUGAUUUUCUUUAAUAGCUUUGUCAAAGUCUUAUUAAAGGCUUCGGCCAGUCCAUUAGCCCUUGUAUUAUAUAUUGAAGAAUAUCUCCAAUCAAUUUUAUGUUGAGUGGCAAAUCUAUUGACUUUGAAACUCCUGAAGGCAGUUCCAUUGUCAGAUAUAAUUCGCCUUGGAACUCCGAAUCGAUAUAGGAUAUUUUCUUUGAAGAAUUUGACCACAUCAUCUGCUUUUACUUCUCUAAGUGGGAUUGCCUCAACCCAUCUAGAAAAGUAAUCUGUAGCAGCAAGAAUGAAUUUAUGCCCCCUGGAAGAUAGCGGAUUGAUAGGUCCUAUCACAUCUGUUCCCCACAUAUCAAAUGGCCAUGAGGCGAUUGUAGGAUGCAAGGGAUUUGGAUGCCGAUGAAUGAAGUCACCGUGGAUUUGACAUUGAUGGCAUUUUCUAGCAUACAUCAUACAAUCUUGUAUCAUUGUUGGCCAAUAAUAUCCCAAAUGUUUAAUUUUGAGGCGCAUUUUUGGCCCUGAUUGGUGCGCACCGCAGACGCCUGAAUGAACUUCAUGCAUGACUUGUUUAAUCUCAUUUGGUGAUAAACAUUUAAGCCAUAAUUGAUCAUAAGAUCUACGAUAAAGCUGAUCAUUAACAAAUACAUAUCUCAUUGCCCUUUUCUUAAUUUGUGCCUGUCUCGACUUUUCCUCUGGCAACUUAUUAUAUUUGAGAAAGUCGAUGAAAGGUUCCCUCCAAUCAUCUUCUAUAUCGAUAGUUGCGACUUCAGCUUCCUUUGUAUCUUUUUCUGGAUUUAAGUCAGCCGGGGACAAUAUUUUACGAUUCCGUAUAGUUAUUUGGACUUCAUCCAUAGUGAGAUCGGCAAGCUCUUUAGCCAAUCUAGCUAGGGCAUCGGCUUUUCCAUUUACAGCCCUGGAUACUUUUUCUAUUUUUACAUAUGGAAUUUUCUCCAUAAGAUAUUUUACCCUCGUCUGAUAUUCGACCAGCUCAGGUUUAUGUACUUUUAAACUCCCCUUCAACUUGGUUGAUGAUUAAUUGGGAGUCUCCGAAGAUAUGCAAUUUUUGUAUGUUCAACUGGAUCGCAAUUUCUAAACCUGCAAUAAGAGCUUCAUAUUCAGCCUCAUUAUUUGUGCGAGGUUCAGAAAGGGCUAAUGAGUAUCUUAAAAUGCCUCCUUCAGGUGUUACAAAGAUUAACCCUAUCCCGGCCUUAAUCUUAGGGAUAUUUGGACUGAAAGCUGGUUGAAUUGAGGAUGCACCGUCAAAAUACAUUUUCCAAUAGGGUUGGUCGUCCGUAGCAAACAUGAUGUGCUCAUCGGGCAAAUCGCAGACCAAAGGUGAGUCAUCUGGAAUUGGGUGCGCAGCUAAGAAAUCAGUAAGUGCUUGACCUUUGAUGGCUUUCUGUGGGACAUAAGUGAUGUCAAAUUCCAGCAGUAUAACAGCCCACUUUGCCAACCUUCCAGUCAAAACUGGUCUUGUCAUUAAGAAUUUAAGUGGGUCCACCCUCGAAAUUAAGUGGAUUUUAUGCUCCAACAUAUAAUGCCUUAAUUUCUUAACCGCAAAUAUAAGGGCUAGACAGUGCUUUUCAAUUGGCGAGUAAAAGUUUUCUGCCCCCACCAACAUCCUGCUGAGAUAAUAUAAAGCGCUUUCCUUUCCUUCUUCAUUAUUUUGAGCAAGGAGUGCACCCAGCGAUCCUUCAAGCGCAGCAGUGUAUAAAAUUAAUGGCCUGCCAUGAAUAGGGGCAGCAAGCACUGGAGGACUUAAUAAAUAUUUCUUAAUGUCGUCAAAUGCUGUUUGACAAUCAUCAUCCCAUAUAAAAGGCGCAUCCUUUUUCACCAAUUUGGAAAACGGUUUAAUUCUGCCAGAUAGAUUUGAUAUAAACCUUCUGAUAUAGGCCAAUCUUCCUUGAAAGGAUCUUAAUUGCUUCAAAUUCUUUGGAGGUGGCAAUUCCAUGAUAGCCUUGAUUUUUGCCGGGUCGAUUUCAAUUCCUCUAUGUCUAACAAUAAACCCAAGGAAUUUGCCCGAAUAAACUCCAAAUGCACAUUUGAGAGGGUUCAUUUUCAGAUUAUAUUUUUUUAAUCUGGUGAAAACUGUUCUCAAGUCUUCAAAAUGAUUUGCUUUAUUCACAGUUUUGACCACCAAGUCAUCAACAUAACACUCAACAACCUUGUGGAGCAAAUCAUCAAAAAUUAUUGUCAUAGCCCUUUGAUAAGUGGCUCCUGCAUUUUUCAGACCAAAGGGCAUAACCUUAUAACAGUAUAUGCCAAUUGGAGUUCUAAAAGCAGUGUGUUUUUCGUCUUCAGGUGCCAUCUUUAUCUGGUUAUAUCCAGAGGAACCGUCCAUGAACGAAAACAUCUCGUAACUUGAAGUAUUAUCGAUCAUUAGUUCGGUGACUGGCAGUGGAAAAUCGUCCUUUGGACAUGCUUUAUUCAGAUCUCGAAAGUCAACGCAUAUGCGAAUUUGACCAUUCUUCUUUUUCACUGGGACUAUGCUCGUGAUCCAGUCAGCAUAUUUUUCUUCUCUGAUGAACCCUGCUUCAAUAAGCUUUUUAGUCUCAGUUAUGAUCUGUUCUUCUAAGUCAACUCUUGUCCUUCUUGGAGCUUGUUUAACUGGAGCCACAUCUGGACUAAUGGCAAGUUUAUGAACAGCCACACUUGGAUCUAAGCCAGGCAUUUCUUUAUACGUCCAAGCAAAGAAGUCUUUAUAUUCCAUCAAUAGUGCUUUCAACACAUCUUGAUCUUCUUCUGGAAGUAAUGCACUAAUAUAAGUGGGUCUUCGAUCCUCUUCAUUACCCAAAUUUAUUUCUAUAAGCUUAUCAACGGUGGCUUGCCCCCCGUCUUCAAGCUCUUGUGGAGCAUCUUUUAAUUCCAGAAGUUUUGCUUUCAGUGGCUCGAUAUCCUCAUCCUGCUCCAUAUCCUUUAUCGUGAUCAUAGUGCAGGUGUGUCGUAUAGCACAUGAAUCAUUAUAGGUCAUCUCUGUCAUAGGAGGUGAGGGAUUGAGCUGACCUUUCUCAGAAGAGCACUGAGAUUUAUUGGACACCUGGGUAGAUUGAUGAUAUCCUAACCCUCUUGUGUGUACUGUUCGCCCAUUCGGAAGUACAACUCUUUUUUGUGGUGGAUUCCACAUUUUCUGAAAAAAAUUUCGAUUAUCUCGUGACCUUCUUGCAGGAAUUCCCGAUCUAUUCAUCAUGUUUUUGAGAUUCUUCGAAAAGUAUUUUGGCAUGUUGACAUCUUCAUAUAUUUCUUCAUCAGAGUUAUCAAGCUUGAUAAGAUCAGAGGGUUUAUAAUCAUCUGACUUAUAGAAAAGGAUCCCCUUCUUUAUUCUUUCUUUUCCUUUAACUUUCUCGACUUGAGGAGGUACAAAGAAGGUUUUUAGAUCAUUCACUUUUGUUGGCUCGCUUAUAUGAAGAGAUUUUAUAUAUCCAUCUGGAACCCUAGUAAUAGCUAAGGAAUCCUCAAUCAAUUCAGGAGUUCUUAUGAACAUAUUUGACUCAGAUGUCGAGCACAUCUCUUCAUCUUCUGAUGAGUCUUCUCCCCAGGGCAUGUUCAACUUGAAAGAAAAUGUUUCCAACAUUUUCCUUACUUGUUCUUCAUCAUCAGAAUCUUCUGAAUCACUUCCGAAGUGUGGAAUCGCAUUUUUUUUAUUAUCCUCAAUCUUUAUCUUCCCUUUUGAUGAUUUUUUAUCACUCUGAACUUUACCCUCUUCGAGUUCACGAGACAACUUUAUAUCUUUUUCAGAUUCUGCGAAAUAUCUCGCAUCUUCAUAUCGUACCUCAUGCACUCCGAAUGGGCGUAUAUCACCAUCAACUCUGAAUUCCUCUCCAUCCUUAAUAUAUUUCAUACAUUGAUGAAGAGUAGAGGGGACAACAUUAUAUUCGUGCAGCCAAGGCCGUCCCAUUAACGCCUUAUACGAGGUAUCUGCAUUUAUCACAUAAAAUUUUGCUUCGGUCCGUAAUGCUCCAAAUUUUAUAGGAAGAAUGAUCGACCCGAGAGCUUUUUGGCUAUGUUGAUUAAAGCCUUGGAUCACGAUUUUCUCCGAGGACAGAUGAUCGACAUUCAGAGCUAAACUUUUCAAAGUUCUUAAAGUCAAGAUAUUGAUUGAGGAUCCAGGAUCGAUUAAAAUGCGAUUAAUCUUAUCUCCAUCACUCGUCCCAGUCACAUAUAACGGCCUAUUGUGAUGAGCAGUUCCCAGCAACAUGUCUUCAUCAGUGAAGAUAACAUUGGCGACAUGUUUAGCGUAUAACGCCUCUUUCAUAUUCACCUCAGCAAAAUGAGCAUAAAAGGGCUCGGGAUUUUGUAAAGCAUAAAUGAGUACAUCCCGAAGUUCUUUGGACAUCAUCAGAGCGUCAUAAACACUCAGCAAAGCAGGCACUUUUCUUAAAUGGGAAAGUAUGUUAUAGUCAGCCUUUGAUAAUCUCCCUUGACUUGAUGAAGUCGUGCCUCUUCAUUUAUCCGAAUUUCUUUAUCUUUAAGAUUUUGAGGAUGUCCUUGUCUUUCUGGUAAUACUUUUCCGGAUUUCAGCGUGAUUUGCAAAGAAUCCUCAGCUUCUUUAUCUUGCUUAGUAUUAGAGUCAGUACCACAAGUAAUAGUUUGGCAUGUUUCGACUCUAGUCUUUUCAAGAGUAUUCAACUUGUUGAGGAUCUCUUUCAAUUGUUCCUUCAUGCUUUUUACCGCCAUGGCCACACAAUCUAUGUUUGUUGCUAGAGAGCGUACAUCAAUCUGCACUCUACUCAAAUCAUUGUCAAUCUCAAGAAGACGGUAUUCCAUUCUCCUUGCACCAUAAUCCCUGCUCGGGGUAUUGUAUGCUAGCCACGCGGUAUCAUCGUCUUCACGUGCACCAGCAGAUUGCCUGACCCUAUUCUCUUGAUUUACAGAGUCGUUAGAUUGCUCUUCAGAGAUUGUUAUUACUCGACACGACUCUUUGAGCUGUGAUUUGUUUUUUCUAUAAUCUCGAAGUUUCACGCAUACAUCAUAAGCAUGACCUCUCGCUCCACACCAACAGCAACGUGGUUUCAUAUCAUCGAAAGCAUCAUAACAUGCUUUUCUGAAUUCUUCUAGAGUAAUGGGUUGUUGUUUCUCAAAUCGUGGUAGAUGUCUCUUCCAUCAUUGACUUUUGGACCCGGCAACCGUCGGUUGAUCGACCUUUAGCUUCACCUUGUCAACAGUUAGAUUCUGCAUCUUUUUCCAUUGGCGACAAUUUUCUAGGGUGUGCCCCCAUAUAUUGUGAUAGGAACAGAACUCUGUCGACAUAACUUUCUUUUUCCCUUCCUUAAUUAGAGGUUCAUUAUUCUGGCGAGCCUCUGACUGCUGGCUUAGAGUUGGUUUCUUCUUCUUUUUCAGUGAAGAUGACCCUGCAUUUCCUCUCACCGACAUUCUUUUAAUUUCUUGAGCAAUUAUGUGUGCUUCAUAGAAAUUUGCGUCGUAUUCGGCUUUUGUUAACUUUAAUUGCUCCGAAUCAACUUGCGCAGUUAUGACUCGGCAUGUCUCAACCCGACAUCUUUUUGAUGCUUCAGUAGCAUCUGUCUUGAGCAUAUCUAUUAUAGUUCUCAUUUGAAUAUCUAUGCCCUUUAUAUCGCCAGUCAUACUGUUCAUAUUCAUCUUUAUGAAGUUAAUAUCAUUGUGCAGCCUCCUCAUUUCUCCCUCCAUUCUGAUUAAGCGACACUCCAUUCUAUACAACUUCUUCAUUGGAUCAUUAUAAGUUGAAGUGUCGUAUAAUUCCAAAGGAUCAACAUAAGUAUCAUCGUUUGGUGUGGAGGUCUGUUGAUUUGCCCUCAGGGUCGGCGCAGGGCUUUCUGACACGUCAUCUGAUAUUGUAAUCACACGACAUGAUUCCCGUAUGUAAGGAAUAGUCUCGUGCUUAUUUUUCUCCUGGAUUUUCAAAGUGGUGCUUCUGACAUUUUGCCUUAUACUUGCCCCUUGAGAAAACUGACCUAUUUGGUCUUCUUAUAUGUUGAAAAGUACGACAGUUUUCUAGGUUAUGUCCUUUCACUUGAUGAAAAGGGUAAUACAUAGGUGUAUUCUUGCUGUCAGAAGACUGAGAAUUAACGCCUCCCAUCGGCGCAGUUCUCGAGCAUUCCCCACCCAUGUUUUUAGUUUCUAUAAGAGGGGUUUUUUCUUUAUCACUUCGGGAAGUAUUGGGUGAAUGCUAAUCUGAAGAUCGAUUUGUAAGCCUUGGCAAUGGCUCGAUCUCCCGUUCUCUGUGGUUUUGUGACUGAGUCUGCUGAGGGAGAGGAGUAAUUUUCAUUAAUUGUUCCACUCUGGCUUCGAUCCCAAUCAUCAUAGAGAACAUUACAUUCAAUUGUGCUUUCAUAUCCAACAUUUUAUCAUUUACCUUGUGGUAAUUGUCAUGCAUCAUUUCUUUUAUUUCUUCUAGUUGGUUAUGAACUUCUCUGAGAUUCCUUUCUCGUCCUCUAACGUGACUUGAAGGAGGGAUAAUUUCUUCAUCGUCACGUUGUGCAGUAAUGACUCUGCAAGUUUCUCCCCAAAAAGGCUCUUCUUUUUCUUUGAGCUCCUCAACAGGAAUUUCUUUUUCACCAGAGUCCUUUUUUUCUUAGCCUCUUCUAUUGCCCUAGAAAUAAAAUCAUGAAUCAUAAGAGGCCCUCUUUCAUCCUGUUUGUAUUCUUCCAUCGAGUCGAUAUGCUCCUCAAUAGGCCGCUUCUUAUGUUGUGGUUGAGCCGGCUCAACAAACUUUUUAUUCUUCCUCAUCCGGGUUAUUCCGCGCCUUGACUUGGCUGAAUUAUUAACUGGAGGUAUAGGCUUAUCCUCAGCUUGCACCUCUGGGUUUAAAGGGCCUCGCCAUUUUAUUCCCGGUACCUCUUUUAAAUAUCUUAACAUCUUCCGAGUUUUCUUAGAUAAAAAUAUAUUCCAAAACUCGGGGGGAAAUACGUUCUCAAUUUCCUCCAAAUUUUUGACGUCGAUCAAAUUAGUCUUUUCGACUGGGACCUCUGACAAUACUGAUUGUGACAGAGUGAUUGCGCCGCUUCUAUAUUGCCUUUCAACCCAAUCUUUGAACACCCAGCAGUCUUCGAUUGGAUGACUGAUUAGUCUGUGGUAUAGGCAAUAGUUUGGAUCGCCAGUUUUCCCUACAUCUUCUGGCUUCCUUGGCUCCGGCAGUUGAAGCCCAUUUUUGACGGCGUCAUUGAAUAUCUUUCUCACUUUCUCCCGCUUGAAAGGAUAUACCUUGUUUCUCCGUUCCUCUAAAGAAAUCCCUUUUGGAUUAUUGCCCCCAUACAUUGGCUUUACCGGGGCCUGUUCAACUGUAGAGGAAAUUGCUUUCUUUCCUUUCUCUAUCAUAUUUGCACGGGCUGGCCUAGCUUGUGCCAUCUUCGUCUCAACUCUUUUAUUAUCAUUCUUCUUAGUCCUUUGUAAGUUUAAGAGGACUUGAGGAUCGGUUCUCUCCAACCGGGAAAUAUUUGAUAUUAAUUCAUGAAAGGUGGAACAACUUGAUGUGCACAGGAAAGGAGCCAUCCAAUUGUCGAUGUUACCCAUGACAAGACCAACGGCUUGGGACUGGUCUAGGGGUUGUUCACACCUUAUGCUUAAGUUCCGCCACCUUGUAAUGUAGUCGAGCAUUGUUUCAUCUUUUCUUCGCCUGGUGGCUACCAAAUCAGCGAUGGUAAUCUUAUCGCUAACAGUGGCGAACUUUGCUCUGAAAGCUUCUUCCAUGUCAGCCCAGGUUCUGAUGGACUCAUCCUCGAGGGAGUAGUACCAUUCAAAAGCAAUACCUGAUAAGCUUUGUGGAAAUUGUCGCAAGAGUAGAGGUCCGUUACUCCCUGUAUUUCCACACAUGGCUUUAAAAUGUGCUAUAUGCUGAUCGGGAUUGCCGAUACCAUAGAACAUUUUAAACUUAGGGACCUGAUACCCUUCUGGAAAUGGUACACUAUCGUAUUCUGAUAGGUAAGGGUGACCUUUCCCUUUAGGUUUUGAAUGCGUCCCUGCCACCGUCUCUUUAACUUGAGAAGUGAUCAAAUCAUGGAUCUCUUCCUUAGUCAAAGAGGUAGUCUCUUUAGGAACAGUUAUUUUAGUCUGUUCAUCAAUGAUUUGCGGUAGAUGUGCUUCUGGUUGAGUAGGAAUCUUAGUUUGACGCCGUUGCUCCCCCAAUUGCUUUUGCACAUUUAGCAUCAAACUCAUGACAUCUUCCAUCUUUUUAUUGAGAUUUAUGAUAUCUCUAUCUUUUUCAUCGACUUUCUUUUUUAAAGACGCAAUUAUAACGUCUUUUGGAUCCUUGGGGUAAUAAACAACCUCCUCUUCAUCUCGUGGAUCAGAUGGAUCACUAGGCAUAUCAUCUUUGUUUUCUUUAUGUUGGGUCUGCGAAGAGCUCGCUUCCUUAGCUCUGGCUUUCUCUUCCGCUGCUUUUCUUGCAGCCGCCCUCGUGAGGAUUUGCUGAAUUGUUUCUUCUUCAUCAGCAUCCUCAUUCGAUGACGUAUGCCCGAUAACUCUCACCGUAUGUAUCACCAAUUUUUCUUCUUUGAUCUGGGCAAGAGUUUUUGGCUUCCACUCUGUAUUCCUUGCUUUCUUUUGUUGCCAUCUUGGCUUCUCAAUUUUCUUUUCCAGGCUGGUUCUUCCUUUUACAGCCUUAAAAGCCUUAUAUAUCCGCUUAAAGACAGAGUUCGUAUCAUCGUUCUUCGAGCGGGGACAUGCAACAGAUGGUUUCAAAUGGGCCAUUUCUGACUCUGGGCGCAGAAUGGCAGUAUGUGAAUUUUUUCUCACAAAUCUCAAGGGUGCAAAGCGGUUACGGGGCAAAACAUCAGGCCCGGCGACAAACCUAUUGUGUUGGGUUUGCUGGAACUUGCUUCCUUUGUUUAUCUCCCGUCGCUUCAAAGUACGACGAAGAUUUCUCUUGAAGGACUUAGUCACGGUGUCCUUGGGAAUCGUCAGCCUAUCGAAGACCGACAUCUCUGGCGCCAUGUUGAGUGGCGAUGUUUCAGCUAUCCGAUUUUGGAAUACAAGUCAUCCUUGUAAUUCCAUCCUCUUAGAUGCGCUGAUGGGUGCGAUCCUCUCCUUCACAGGAACGCGAGGAGGGUUGGAGAUGAUCACAUUUGGGCGUCUCCCACGAGAUGGAAGACGUGGAGUCAUAGUAUUAGCCUCAGUUGGGCUGGCAAUGGCAUUGAAAGGGGCCAUAACCGCAGCCCUAACUUCUUCAGGAAUGGUGCCGAACUGGAUUGCGGCACCAGCAGCUCCAAUGGUAAGGACAGAUGCCGGCAGGCAGACCUGUCCUGCAUUGAUCAUCAUUGAGCCUGUAGCAGUAGCAGUGUUCUUCGGUGCCAUUUCUCCUGUAAGAGAAUAGCGAGUGUCGAUUAGAUAUUUAUCACUCAAUUCUAUUAGCAUAACAUUGGUCUCAAAGAUGGAAGGAGAAGCCAAGUCCCACUGGGCGUGCCAUUUUGUCUGCCACCACGAAUGACGCACCUCGCACGGGGAAUUUUUAUCUUUUGAUUCUCCCGUGGGUUAGUAUUCAUGAUGUAGAUUAAAGUAUGUGUAUGUAUGGUUAUCAGGUAUUGCGGAUCCAUGGCUUCCAAUAAACGCAAGCGUCUAUUGUUAAUUACCCCUAUAGAAUAUUAGGGCACCUUCGAUUAAGAGACCUCUGAAAUGCUGAAGAUAAACUGGAAUUGGACAAAAGGAAAUUUAUAAUUUAUUGCUCAAUUACAUGGCUUUAACCAAGGGCAUACCCUCAGUGUACAUGAAUAGAGCGUAAAGAAUGUAUUUUUCAAUUGUAUCUUAGUUAUAUGUUCUAAGAUACCCAAUAUAUGGUCAAAUUAAUUUUGUUGGACUCUAUAUAUUGUGGAGCUUAACACUAUUCACCCUAAGAUGAAAGAUUGGUUAAAUUCCAUAUAUAUAUGCAUUGGAAUUUAAUCAGAUUUAAUUCAGAUUAAACUCUAAUUAUAUGUAUUAGAGUUUGAUUUGGUUAAUUGAACUUUAAAUGUAUGUAAUAAAGUCCAAUAGAUGAUCAGAUUUUGUUGAGCUCUAUAUAUUUUGGAGCUCAACUUUGUUUACCAUGAGAUGAAAGAGUGAUUAAAUCCCGUAUGUAUACAUUGGAAUUUAAUCGAACUUGAUUAAACUCUGAACUUUAAAUAUAUGCAAUAAAGUCCAAUAGAGUUUGAUUUGAGCUUUCAUCCUAAAUAUAUGUGUUAGGAUUAGUCCCAAAUAUCUUGAAUUAGACUCUAAUUUUAUAUUUUAGAGUCUGAUACAAUUAGGCUCUAAGUUUAUGUAUUAGAGCUUAGUCACAUUUGAUUUUGGUUCAUCUCAAGGUGAAAUAUUAACUAAAUCCUAAUUAUAUGUAUUAGGAUUAGUCAAAUUUGAUUUAAAUUAAACUCCAAGUGUAUGUAUUGGAAUCCAACAAAUUAAUUUGAUCAGAUGGUUUGAUCAAUUCUAAAUAUAGGUUUAGAAUUUGAUCAAGUUUGAACAUGAUUGUGAUUUGACUCUAGUUUUAUAUGCUAGAGAAUCAAAUAUUUUGGGAAUUGGGAUGUUCAUGAAAAUUGAAUUUGAGUUUAGUUUAACGACAUUUCGGUCGAUAUCGGAUUUAGGUUUAGUUUAACGACGUUUCGGUCGAUUAAUUUGGUGGAUUAGUUUAACGACGUAUCGGUCGAAGGUUUGGGCUUGGUUCACAAGGUUUAUGGUAUUGGGUAUAUGGGAUUAUGGUUCAUGAACUUAGAUAUGGUUCAUGGGUUUAUGGUUCAUGGACUUAUGGUUUAUGGGUUUGGUUCAUGGGCUUAUGGUUCAUGAACUUGUGGUAUGGUUCAUGGGUUUAUGAACUUGUGGUUCAUGGGCUUAUGGUUCAUGAACUUGAUUCAUAGUUUGUGGAUUUGGUGUAUGGUAUGGUCCACAGGAUUUGGUAUAUGGUUUGGUCUAUGGUUUUGGUUCAAAGUUCAUGGAGGUUAAAGUUAUGGGCUUGGAUAUGGGUUAAAUGUGUAUGGGUUUAUGGGUAAAUGUAUAUGGGUUUAUGUAUAUGGGUUUAUGGGUUAAUGGUUUUAAUGAGUUUUGGAUAAUGGGCUUAGAUAGUUCCAUUAUUUCGAACACUAUCAAAUCAAAAGAAUAUUAAUCAAAAAUCUAAUUAAUUUUCUUUUAUUUCUCCACUGAAAGAGAAUUAAGAGAAUAUUUUUUCUCUGUCUCUUAAAAAAUAAGAUGCAUCAUUCAUCAUCAUCAUUUUUUUACAUCUUGGGGACAACUAAGGUGGGAAGAUCCCUCCUUUGCCUCCCUCUUUUUUUUUACAAAGCUUCCUCUCUCUUUCAUAAUCAUGAUUAGAGAAGUACUAUCUUUCUCUCUCUCUCUCAAAUAUAUAUUUUUUGAAGAGCACCGCUCUUUCAUUUUUUAUAAAGAGAAGAGCACCGCUCUCUCUCUUUAUUCGCCGCCGAGCACUUGGCGGGCGGAUCUAACUUCAUUUGAGAGGAGAGCACCGCUCUCUCUCUCUCAGGUUCGCCGUCGAGCGGUUGGUGGGCGGACUCCGGGUACAUCGAGCACUUGGCGGGCGGAACCCGUUUGAGAGGAGAGCACCGCUCUCUCUCUCAGGUUCGCCGUCGAGCAGCUGGCGGGCUUUGUUGAUGACGGAGCUCCGGUUUCAUUCAGGAAUUUCGUCGAACAGUUGGUAGGCAUGGUUCGUCGGUGCGAACUCCGUCAAAGCGACAUCCUGGACAUUUCAUCAAACAAGUGGUGGACGUGUCCCAUCGGCGUCCACUCUGCCAGAACCAUGUCCUAAUCAGCUUUGUAGGUGGCGAGGGUGUUCUCGGUGGCCUCCUUCUACUCGGCCCCGGUCUUGAACUCGGCGUCGAUUCAAAUGGUAUCAUCUUCGUCAUGGAGGAUCAAGGAUCCGUUGGCGGUGCACGAGAUGCAGCGGUUGCUGGCGGAAAAGAAGAAUUGCUCACUGCGGACUUAAAUCGAACACCUGGUGUGCGGGGGAUGAAGCAGGAGAGGAGCAGGAUGAGGAAGGAGCAGGUGGCCUCGGCGGUACAGAGGUCAGCGAGGAACAGGCAGCCUCGGAACGGGCAGCCUCGGAGCGGGCGACCUCGGAGGGGGCGGCCUCGGAGCGACGACCUCAGCGGCGCAAGGGUCGGCAAGGAGGCGACGUCUUCAGCGGCGCAGGGGUUAGCGAGGAGGCGGCAGCCUCGGGUAGUUGAAGUUGGCGAGGAGCGACGCGGCCUCGGGCGCAGGGGUCGGCGAGGAGCGACGGCCUCGGGUAGUUGGGGUCGGCGAUGAAGCGAGCGGCUUCGGCGGCGGAUCGGCGAGGGAACAGCCGGAAGCAAGCGGCGACCUCGGUAGACGGAUCAGCGCGGAAGCGGGCGGCUUCAAGCAAAUCGGCCGCGGGUGGCGCGGCUUCGAGUCGAGGACGGCAGCGGUGGCGCUUCAAGCAGAUCGGCCGCGGGUGGCGCGGCUUCGAGUCGAGGACGGCGAGCUCGGUCGAGUCCGCGGCCAUGUGCGCAGAGAAGUCGAGGAGCGGCGGCGAUGGCGGCUCGUGGUGACGUCGGAGUCGAUGCCGUCGCGGAGACCGCAAAGGAGUGUGGGGCGAAGUCCGCGGCCAUGCGCGCGGAGAUUGUCGAGAAGUGACGCCCCGGGCCGAGGCGUCUCGGAGUGACGUGGGCAUGUCUCGGAGCAGACGACCUUAGCGGCGCGGUGCCUCGGAGCAGACAAGGGGGGGGACCUUGGAGCGAGCUCGACGGUCGGUGCGGUUCGGCUUUGGAGCAGACAAGGGGGCCUUGGAGUGAGCUCGACGGCCGGUGCGGCUCAGCCGCAGCAUGGACGGCCUUGGGCUCGAAGGUGGUGCAGCUCGGCCUCGGUUGGAGAGGGAUGACACGGCGGGUGAUGGAGCAGAUCGGCCGCGGGGGGCGCUUCAAGCAGAUCGGCCGCGGGUGGCUUCGAGUCGAAGACGGCAGCGGUGGCGGCUUCAGGCAGAUCGGCCGCGGGUGGCGCGGCUUCGGGUCGAAGACGGCAGUGGUGGCGGGGACACGGCGGAAGGGCUCGGCCGACUCCAUGAUGAGCUCGGUGGAGCUCGGUGGGUGCUCGGCGGAGCUUCGGCGGAAGCGCGUCGCGGCUCGAUCGGCAGAGGAGUCGGUGGAGCGCCUCGGCGCGGAGAGCUCAAGGAACUCGAGCGCACGGAGACAUCGAGGAGGCGGCGAGGGCAAUGUCGUCGUGGGCAGGGGCUCAGCGGAGGAAGCCUCGGUGAGUGCUUGAGAGAGAGAGAGAGAGAGAGAGAGAAAGAAAAGAGAUCUGAGAUCUGAGAUCUUUUUUUUUCUUUUCCUUCUUUCUUCUUUUUUUUUUUUAGCCGAGAGAGAGAGCUUUGUUUUCUUCUUUCUUUUUUCUUCUUUUUUUUCUUUUUUUUUUUUGAACGGGAGAAAGAGAUAAUAUAUUUUUUUUACCUUUUCUUUUUUUUUUUUUUUUUGCGAUCGACAGAAUAGGGUAGAAAUUUUUUUUUAGAUUUCGCAGAUUCAAAAACUCUCUCUUGUUUGAUUUUUCGAGGGGUAUUUAUGGAGGUGGUUGUAACCAACCUGAGGGAGACGUGCGGAUGGAUCGUGGGAUGCGGGUGGUUGUAAACAAUUUGAGGGAAACGUGCGUAUGAAUCGUGGGAUGGUUAUGGGAUCGUGGGUAAUCGUGAUAGGAUUGUGGGAUGAUGGGUGGUGGGUAUAGGUUGUUACGAUAGUAUCGUGGGAUUGUGGGAGAGAUUUUGGAUGGUUGAGAUGAGAUUGUGGGGUAUUUUGGACGGUUGUGAUGAGAUUAUGAGAUAUUGGGUGGUUAGGAUGGGAUUGCGGGAAUAUUGCGGAUUAGUCCUUUCCCUUUGAUCAUAUUACAUCUUAAUAAAAAUAUUAUAUGAUUAAGGUGGGGCAUUUUGUAAAUAUAUAAAAGGGAAUAGACUAAUAUGCUAUUUUAUAUUCCCGUACGUAUUAUUUUUUUGCAAUCCGGUGCAUGGGAUAUUUUCAAAAUUUAAAUUUUAUCCAUGCACCUGGUGCAUAGAUGAUCUCAUAAACCAUCUCUAUUUAUUAUUUUCUCUCUCCCCUUUUUUCUUUUUCUUCUUUUAUUCCUCUCUCUUUUUUUAUGCUUCAACAAGCUGGACCUUUGCAAAUUGCGAGGUUCGAGUGAUUGGAUGUGUUUCGAGUUUUUCCACACUUGGUGGAGGGUCGUAGAAUGUUUUCCGAACUAAAAAGUUCGAAAACUGGAAUUCUGGAUGAGUCCUGAGAGUUUUUACUCUCGGGGACUGGUCCCUGAAAGGAGAGACCGGUCCCCCAGUGAGCAGUGCUGUGCAGCCGGCGAGGAGACCGGUCCCGCGCAGGGAGAGACCGGUUCCCGAACGAUGGUUUUUCGAGUUCGACACGAGAGACCGGUCCCUUGCAAGGAGAGACCGGUCCCUCUGGGCGAAAAUUGCCGAGACCGCGCUGAUGCAAUAUUGGAUUUUUGAGGGGCCUCUUUGGAUUUUGUUACACUAGAUGGCUUAUAUGGCCACACCACCCUCUCUCCUUCUCAUUUCUCUCCUCAUACUCACUCCCCACCCUUGUUAGAGAGAGAAGAGGAAGGAGAAGAAGGAAGAAGAAGAAGAAGAAGGAGAAGGUCUUUUGGUGCACUUGGAGCAUUUCUUUCCUCUCCUUCUCUUCCCACCUUGUUGGUGCUUGAAGGCUUGGACUUGGAGCUUGCAAGAGAGGAGAACUUCACCCUUGGAGCUUGGAUUGGAGCGUCUAAGGAGGUUUGUUGCUCAUUUUCUCCAUCUAAACUUUGGAUUUGAGGUUUUCUUGUGUUGGAACCCUAGAAUGAGAUUUUAGGGUUGAUUUUGGGGCUUUUUGAUCUAGGGCUUUUGGAGCUUGAUCACUUGGAUUAGAGCUUUCCUUUGGGUUGGAUUGGAAGGGAUUUAGCUAUCUUUUGGAGCUUAGGAAGAGAUUUUGCACUAGAGGUGAGUUUUGACCCUAUUUUUGAGAUGGUUAAUGUUUGAUCCUAUAGUUGAUCGUAAUGCCCGUGUAUCUCUUCGCUCAAUACUUUUAGGGUGAUUUGAGACUCGUGGACAACUUUGUUCGGCGAGACGAGGCACUACGCGACGGUUCGGUGGGUUUGACCUAGCCACACAAUGAGAAAUUCUUAUUUGUGAUGAAUUAAGUAUCGUUAAUUGAAAAAGCAUGCAUAUUCUUGUUAUAUGCAUUUAUUGUGAAUUUUAAAAUGCUUAAAAUGCCUAAGUUACAUAUGAUGAAAUUUUGGACCUCUAUGUAGUAGAGAGUUGCUUGGGAGAUCUAUGGUUGCAUUUAGCAUUCUAUAUGAGACUUGGUUUCAUACUUCUAUAGUGUAAAUGAGCUUGGAUUCAUGCAUUUAAAUCUAAGUUUAUUUGAGACAUGAAAGAUGACAAAAUAGCCAUAUAGGGGUAUCGAACUAGAAUGCAUGUGAAUUGGUGAGCUAAUGUCAUUAAGCGGCAUUGAGCUCGGAUUAUGUGUGAACCUAGUGGUUAGAGCCAUUGCGGGAUUUGGUUUAUGUUGAACAUUAAAUUGCCUAAGUGUCAUCAAGGGGCACUAGGCGUAGUGAGUGUUUGGAACUUCGCUUUGUAACUUAACUAGAUCUUCGGGAUGCUAGUGACGAUACCAUGUUAGAGACAUGAGGUUUGGGUACUUAAGACUUGGACUAUGCUUGUUUGCCAUUUGUGCUCAUUCGCACAUGCUUGUGAAGGUCGCUCCCUACAAGCCGGCACUCCGGAGUUAGCCUACGCGACCUAUGUUCGCUCGUGCGGUAUUGAGAAGCCUACGGGGUCGAGUGGGACAGACACAUUCCAAGAGUAGGAAUGUUGGGCUACCACAGGCACUUAGGCGACACAAGCUCGACUACCUUUGGUAGGUCCUUAAUUGGAAAUGAAAAUCGACACGGUGUUGAGUUUAUUAUAAUCACUACUAGAUAGAGAAUAGUAGUUGGAUUACUUGGACUUGCUUCUAGCAUAGUUUUGGGUACUUGGAUAUACAUACAUGCAUGUAGCAUGCUAGGAGAUGUUUCUUAUCGCAUUCAUAUAUACAUUGUUGCCAUGAUAAAGCAUGAUCUUCAUAAUUUCAUAAAGCAAAUAAUGAUUAUUACUUGUGGUCAUGUCAGGACGUACUUGUUCAUAAUGAAAUAGGUGUACAUCAUAUUUGACACAAUGUAGUUCCUUAGCAUGUUUAUUUAUGCUUUCAUAAAUGCACUUUAUUCAUUACUAUUGCUCUUCCUUGACUUACCCUUUUCUUUUGGGGCCUAGUGGUGCAUUGAGCUGAGGUCAGUAAUUGCCCACUGGGAACCUAUAAAUUAUAGUUCUCACGCCCUAUGUUUUAUGUUUUCUUUCAGAGCCUUCCACGCCGGGAGAGGCUAGGGACCGCGGGAAGGGGGUUGCUUCGAGCUAGCUUCCUUCGAGGACGAGUCGAUAGGUGGUCUACCUCUCGUUGUUUUAUUUUGUGAGAGGUUGAGAGUUGUACCCGUAUAUGUAUAGAGACCACCCUUCUUUUGGAUCUUUGUAUUCCUUUUGAGGAUAUAGCAUUGUAUCACUUAUGCGUUACUUUCAUUGUCUAGUUAUGUUUCUUUUACUCUGGUUUAGAUGAUAGAACUUUACUCGCUCUGAUAUCAUUAGUUGCUAUUUAUUCUAUUUGUUCUAUUUCUUGCUUUUACUUCUGCUUUUAUUGUAGACGCCUUAUAUAUGUAGACAUAUGGCGGGUCUGGGCACGCUACCGGGAGGGCCUCCGCCGGUCCCGGGGCAUGACACCAGCCCCCUUAGAGGGCUUUCUUGUGCCCUAACUAGUGGAGAACAAGGUGAGAACUCUCCCCUCUUGGUUCUUCUCCAUUUUUGAUGGGUUUUUGCUUAUUUUGAUCUUCUCCUCUUUAUGUUUCUUUGCUCCUUGUUGGUUUCCUCCAUGGGAGAAGCUUGGAGCUCAUGAUUGGAGCUUCAUUGAGGGAAGAUCUUGGGAGCUUGUGGACUUUGGGCUUGUCGGAAGCCUUCUAGAGGUUAGUGGCUAACUUCUUUCCUCUAGAUCCUAAUUUUGCUGCUUUUUGUUGGUAGAAACCCUAGAUUUGGGAUAUUAGGGUUGGAAUUUGGGGAUUUUUGAUUUGUGGGCUUUAGGACCAAAUUGAUGGGUUUAGAACCUUCGUGUAGGUUGGGUUGGAAGGAUUCUUGCUCCCUUUUGGAGAUCAAGAGAGAUUUUCACCACUUUUAGUGAGUUUUUAGCCCUUUCCUUGAGUUGCUUAAUGUUUGAACUCAUGAUUUGUCGUUUCGAUGUUGUAACUCCCCUAACCUAUCUCUUAGGGUGCUAGGAGUGAUUACCGAAGCUUUGUUAGCAUUUUGGACGCCUGCGCGAAGACUUUGGUGGGUUUGGCUUCAUUGAAAUAGGGGAAAAUGCCUCCUACGUGGUUAAAUGUUUUCGUAUACUAUAAAUGCAUGCAUAUCCAUGUUGAAUAGAAUUCAUAUGAAUUUUAGAAUGCUUAAAACUCAUAUGUUAUGCAUCAUGAUAAAGAUUGACUCUAUGUUGUAGAGAGAAGCAUAUGCAUUGUUAGUAUGCAUGAGUUCAAUGUUCUAAUGAAUGAUCUAAGAUCAUGUUUCUUGUGUGGAAAAUGAUUAGAAUGAUAAGCUUUUAGACUUACUAUUCAUAUUGGGACAUUGUAAGCAAAAGUUUCAUAAAGGGGCACUUGAACUAGAAAAUCGUUGAACUACAACUUAGAGACAUGAUGAUAGGCCACUGGAAAUUUGCUAUAUUCCAUGUUUUAGACAUGAUGACAUAGAAAUAGGCCAUUGAGAUAGUUACUAUAUUCCGUGUUUUAGACACGAUGACAUAGAGGCAGGCCUUUGGGACAUGUGCUGUAUUCCGGGUUUUAGAUCCGAUGAAACAGUGAUGAACCACUGGGACCUGAGACGGACUUAUUCGCUUGCAUGUCAUUGUGCUCAUUCGCACAUACUUGUGAGGGUCGCUCCCUACAAGUCGGCACUCCGGAGAUAGCCAUCGCGACAUAUGCUCGCCCGUGCGGGAUUGGGCGCCAAAAUGGGAUGCCGUGGGGGAGGCUCAUUCCUAGAGUGGGGAUGUUGGCUACCACGGGGCCAUUGUUGGCACGGCGCAGGCCAGACUACCUACGGGUAGCUUCCACAGGAUUGGGUUACUGGUGACAUACUGUACCUUUUGAACAUUGACUAGAUUAGUAAAUAAUGACAUCUUUACUAUUUACAUUGUGGAUAUUGGGUUAGUUGCAUACUUAUGCAUUUACAUGUUGGAUACUCUUGUGCACAUGCUUGUAGUAGUUGCUUUCUUACUUAUGCAACUUCAUACUAAGUAGAGAUCAUGUGAUAGUUUAUUACUUAUGCAAAUCUAUGCUAAGUAGAGAUCAUAUGGUAGAUUAUUACUGAUGAAAGUAGUGACUUCAUGCUAUAUUGAGCUUCCAUUUCAGCGAGUUAUUUGUUCAUAUUAUUCUUACCUGCCUUGCUGUCACGCCCCGAGACCGCUACCAAUUUGGUCCGGCCCCGGGCGCGUCGAACAGACGCCGAACGGACAGGACCUCCCCUGUCCGUCCAAGGCUAACCAACAGAUCAUGUAUAAGAAUUUGCCCAGGAAUCAAUUCAUAAAUACACGAUCAAGAAGCACCACCAGUGCAACAAUCAAGAGCAAGAUACAAGUAUAGAAACAUAUACAAGUACAUAAGAGAGAAGGGGCUAUCCAUUACAUUCAUUUGAUUUACUACAUUUAAGUACGUCUUUUACAUUCUUCCAAAAAUAUAAGUACAAGCACUCAAACCUCACCCUAUACAACAUCUACUCUCAAAUACAAAAAGGGUGACAGCUAAUGCAAAAGGGAGGUAGCUAAUGCAACUAGAGCGCCGGGCCCUUACCACGAUCCUCACGCUCACCUGGGACGCCCGAACUCGAACCUAUGGUAAAAUGGGGGUGAGAACUAACUUCCUUAGUUCCCAGUGGGUUCGGCCGCCGACUCCGCCGAUCUCCCCACUAGGUCCAAGCGGGCAAAAGUAGAUAAUCGAUAGAUAGAUAGAUAAGGAAAGCGGUAAUGACAGAAGUAAAGCUACUCUACUAUGCCCAAUCAUAAAUAUAUGAAUGCAUGUACAAUGGAAUAGGUAAGCAAUUAACCCAUUAUCAUGUCCAAAGGUAAAGCUAUUUACUCGUUCAUCAAUCCCAUUUACUUGUUUCUUAAUCUCGUGGCUUCCCUGAAGGAGCCUACUGCUCACUAGCCAUCUCGAAGGUAGGGAGGGUCAACUCGCACUACGAACCGAGACCGUCUGCCGGGGCCUAAAAUAGGCAAUCCCUUGGGACCCAAAAUAGGCAAUCCCACGUGACCAACUCCGGAGCGCACUACUUGUGUGAGGCUUCCAUCACAAGAUUUAAAAACAGACCGUGAGCAUGAUCCAAUCCUCGUCUCGAGAAUACCCUAUCCUCUAGGGUUACCAUCAUCAUAUAGUCCAUAGGUUUCACAUACACUAUGACUCAUAUGUGUCAUUUGUUCUCUUAUACACUAUUAACUAGAUUGCCACUCGUCCAUUGUUUACUAUCGACUAGAUGCCACUCGUUCUUUGUUUAACACUAGACCAACCGUUGAGCCUAUCUCUUUCUUUGCACUAUAGGAUUCACAAUCUCGACCCAAUCCUUAUCGAUCCACUAUAUCAAGUAUCCAAUACAUGCUACGAUAUCAUCAAGGAAAGCAUAAGGAAAGGCAAUGCACAAUCAUCCUAUAAUGCAAUAAUACAAGAUGCAAGAAUCGACAUGUACUAAGACAUAGAAGGGAGCCCGAUUGCUUCGGGAUGGACACCACCCACCUCUUGGCGAUGCCGCGAUGAUAGAAGACUCGGCGUUGUGGUUCUUGCACGUCGCCCUAACUCCUCGGGGCGAAGCGAGCCCUCGAGUACCCGAUUCGGCGAUAACUCCGCACUCGCUCGUCGGAUCGGCAAACCGUCUUCGCCGACGCGUUCCGGGACCUAACAAUUAGGUUUGCGACCUAAUAGAUUAGAUCAAAACCCUAGAUUUCGAAAAUCCCCAAUUCCGUGCACUAGAAUGGCAAUGGGGAAGAAAUCCGUGGUGCGAGCUUCGAUUGCGAGCCCGAACCACCUAUUCAUCUCCUCUAGGUUCCAUUUGAACCAAUUCUAAGCAAUAAAACCCAAUCCUAAGAAAUCUACCAUGAGUGGGUUUGGAGCUUACCUCUAAGCCAAGCUCCAAGCUUGCCCUAGCUUGAAGGAGAGAGGGAAGAAGAUGAUCUUCUCCUUCUUCUUGAUCUUCUCCUUCUCUUUUCUCUUCUUUUCAUUCUUCUUCUUCUUCUUCUUCUUCUUCUUCUUUCUUCUUCUCUUUCUUUUCUUUCUAAAGAGAGAGAGGGAAAGAGUGAGAGAGUUAGAGAGCAAUGAGGGAAAGAGAGGGGUCCCCCACCUCUAUUAAAGGCCAUUUUGCAGAUAGCCCCCUCAACUUUUCAUCCUUCAAACCAGCCCUCUUUGGGCAUUUUCGCAGUGAGGGACCGGUCCCAGCUCGGGGAUACCGGUCCCCGAAGGCUACCAUCUCGGGCAGAGGGAUUUUCGCGUUCGGGAACCGGUCCUUGCCUGAGAGACUGGUUCCUGGGAGACCGUUCCUUGUCCGAGAGACCAGUUCCCGAAAGUUGGAUUCUCGAGACUUAGCCAAAUUUUUGGCCAUUCUCGCCGGGCUGACGUUCGGGAACUGGUCCCUGCCUGCAAGGGACCGGUCUCAUCAGAGACCCCCGCAGCCCAGCCCAAUGGAACCGGUCCCUCCCUGCCAGGGACCGGUCCCCGGGAGCAAUUCUUCUCCAGUGCAGAUUUUGCACUGGUGCUCCAGCGGACCCUUCCUUAAUGCACUUUAUGCAUUAUAAUCACCCUCGGACUUUCUAAAGCUUACGCACUCGACAACUAGUCGAUUCUAAUCGAAGUCUAAUCCUCGAGUUUCGAGAAUUCACUUCCUCACAUCCUUCCCACCUUAAAAGAGUUUCGUCCUCGAAACGAACUCAAUACUACAAUACUUAAUUAGAAUUCCAAAUUCUAAACUCAUACCUCGAUUUAACCUUCGAACAGGCGAGGAUGAUUCGCCUUCAUCUCCUCCUCGAGCUCCCAGGUGGCUUCGCGAUCAUCAUGAUUGCUCCACCGGACUCGGACAUAAGGAAUUUCCCGAUUCCUUAACUUGCGCACUUCACGAGCGGUAAUUGCCACCGGAAACUCCUCGUAGCUCAGGUCCUCCUGAAGUUCCGGCGGUUCGUAUAACAUCGCGUGCUCGGGGUCAGGAAUGUAUUUGUGUAGAUUGGAGACGUGGAAUACAUUGUGCACAUCCGCUAGCUUCGGCGGCAACGCGAGCCGAUAAGCCACCGUCCCAAUCCGCUCCAAGAUCUCAUAGGGGCCAAUAUAUCGGGGGCUCAAUUUUCCCCGAACUCCAAAUCGCCUUACACCCCUCAUAGGCGAGACCUUCAAGAAGACACGGUCGCUCACCGCAAACUCUAGAUCUCGUCGGCGCCUAUCCGCAUAGCUCUGUUGUCGAGACUGCGUCGUGAGUAAUCGUUUGCGAGCAAGGCGGACCUUUUCUUCCGCCUCCCGCAGCACAUCAGGGCCAGAUUCCGUGCGCUCGCCCACGUUACUCCAAUAAAUGGGAGAGCAGCACUUCCGCCCAUAAAGAGCUUCGAACGGUGCCAUCUCCACACUAGCGUGAUAACUGUUGUUGUAGACGAACUCGGCCAUUGGCAAAUACUUACACCAACCUCCUUUGUAGUCGAUGACACACGCUCGCAACAUAUCCUCCAGCGUCUGAAUGGUUCUUUCAGUUUGUCCGUCUGUCUAGGGAUGAAAUGCAGUACUGAAGUCAAGCCGCGUGCCAAGGGCCUCCUGUAGGCUUUCCAGAAAUGUGAAGUGAACUUGGGGUCUCUAUCCGACACAAUCGAUUUCGGCACCCCGUGUAACCUCACUACUUCAUCAAGAUAUACCUGCGCCAACUUAUCUCCCGCCCAGGUGGUGUGGAUCGGUAAAAAGUGCGCUGACUUUGUCAAGCGGUCCACAAUCACCCAGAUCGCGUCGUGUUUCCCUAUCGAGCGAGGUAAGCCAACGAUAAAAUCCAUAGAUAUAUCCUCCCAUUUCCAGACGGGAAUAGGUAGGCUUUGAAGCUUCCCCGCUGGAAACCGGCGCUCCGCCUUUACUUGCUGACAAGUCAAGCACUUUGCCACGAAGCGCCCAAUAUCGGCCUUCAUCCCUGGCCACCAAUAGAGUGCUCUCAACUCAUGAUACAUCUAGGUGCCGCCCGGGUGAUCCGCGUAUGGAGACCGGUGGGCUUCCUGCAAAAUCAGCUCGUGAAGCUCUUCAUUCUCGGGCACGCACCACCGGUUUCGAAACCGAAGCGCGCCACCGACGUCCACACUAAAAUCGCCAUUUCGUCCUUCCUCGACGUUGCGCCACACCUCUUGGAGACUCGGAUCUGCAGGUUGCAAGUUUCUGAUCCUCUCCAAUAAGGUCGGUUGAAUAACGAGCGCCAUCAGCUAAGCCGGGAUCUCGGGAGCAACCACUUCGAGGUCCAGUCGCUCCAUCUCCAGCCCUAGGGGUGUUUGCCGAGUAACAUCAAAAGCGAGGUUCUUCGCCGACUUUUUGCUAAGUGCGUCUGCAACCACAUUUGCUUUGCCGGGGUGGUAGAGAAUAUCGACAUCAUAGUCCUUUAAUAGCUCUAGCCACCGCCUCUGUCGCAUGUUCAGCUCCUUCUGGGUAAACAGAUACUUCAGACUUUUGUGGUCGGUGUAGAUCUCGCAGUGUGCACCGUACAGGUAGUGCCUCCACAACUUCAACACGAAGAUCACCGCCGCCAACUCCAAGUCAUGGAUGGGGUAAUUCUUCUCGUGGUCCUUCAGCUGACGGGAUGCAUAAGCUAUCACCCUCCCGUCUUGCAUCAGAACACACCCCAAGCCCAGAUAGGAUGCAUCGCUAUAGACCACAAAGUCCUCGCCCUGCACCGGUAAGGCGAGUAUUGGAGCCGACGUCAAUCUUUUCUUCAACUCGUUGAAGCUUUGAUCACACUCGUCGCUCCAAAUAAACUUGACGCCCUUCUGAGUUAAACUGGUAAGUGGAGUUACAAUCUUCGAAAAACCUUCCACAAACCGUCGAUAAUAGCCCGCUAAGCCCACAAAGCUUCGGACCUCCGUGACGUUCGUCGGGCGUGGCCAAUUCUCGACCGCUUCGACUUUCCUCGGGUCAACCGAAACACCGCCCUCGGAAAUCACAUGCCCCAAAAAGGCAACCUCUCGAAGCCAGAAAUCACACUUCUUCAGCUUUGCGAAUAGCUUCUCCUCCCGAAGGAUUUGAAGCACCGUCCGCAAAUGCUCCGCGUGCUCCUCGUCGUCCCGCGAAUAGACCAAGAUGUCGUCUAUGAAGACCACGACAAAUCGGUCCAAGCACGUCUUGAACACACGGUUCAUCAGAUCCAUGAAUGCGGCCGGGGCAUUAGUGAGCCCGAAAGGCAUAACCGUGUACUCAUAGUGUCCAUAACGCGUGCGAAACGCGGUUUUCUGAAUAUCCUCCGACUUAAUCUUUAACUGAUGGUAGCCGGAUUGUAGGUCUAUCUUCGAGUACACUCGUGACCCCUGUAACUGAUCAAAUAAGUCAUCGAUUCGGGGCAACGGGUACUUAUUCUUUAUCAUGACCCUAUUCAACUCUUGAUAGUCCACGCAGAGUCGAAAUGAGCCAUCCUUCUUGCGCACGAACAACACCGGGGCUCCCCACGGUGAUACGCUCGGCCUGAUGAACCCUUUGUCGAGAAGAUCUUGUAACUGAUCCCUCAGUUCUCUUAACUCUGCCGGCGCCAUGCGGUAUGGGGCCUUCGAGAUUGGCACCGUCCCGGGAAUCAAGUCUAUAACGAACUCGAUCUCCCGAUCCGGCGGCAUCCCCGGUAACCCCGUGGGAAAUACAUUUGGAAAUUCCCGCACCACCGAUAAAUCCUCUAAACUCGGAGCCACUCGGUCCACUUCCAUGACAGUCGCCAAAAAUGCUACGCAGCCGCCGUUGACCAACUUUCUAGCUCUCGUCGCCGAUAUCGUCGCGACGAAGCAAGAGCUUCGACAAGCUCGAUAAAUGAACUCCUCCUGUCCUGGCUCCCGAAUGGUGAUCAAUUUAUUCUUACAAUCAAUCGUGGCGUAAUACUUUGAGAGCCAAUCCAUGCCCAAAAUGACGUCAUACGCCUCCAGUUUCUUAAGUUCCAACAUCCGGAUGGGCAUUAUCCAGUCGCCUACUUGUACUGGGCAUGACGAGCACUCCGUAUAGGUAUUAAAUGAUGACUCGGGACCUUCGACUCGCCACUUGCCACUUGCUUCUAUGGGUAUGUCAUGCAUGCGUGCAAAUGCCCUACUAAUAAAUGAAUGCGUGGCACCCGUAUCGAACAUAGCUCUGGAGCGAACUCCAUUAAUUAGAACCAUACCUGCCACAACAUCAGGCUCCUCGGCUUGGGCAGGCUCUUCGGUAUGGGCCUGAGCGGCGAAUACCCGUCCGCUCGGCGCUGAUCGAGUCACCUCCGGCUGGCACGGCGCCAGUGCGCGUCCCGCCGAUACGGGAACAUACGAGGCCCCUCCUUGAUAAGGCGAGGGCGCUGGAGUCGAUGCAACCGACGAAGUAGACGAGGCCCUUGCCGGACAGUCACGACUGACGUGUCCCUCUUGUCCACAAUUAAAGCACCGUCCUUGUCGUUGUCUACACUGCGGUGCCCGAUGGCCUCGAUCUCCACAGAUAGGGCACCGCUGCGGCCCACGGCCCCACGACUGCGACUGCGGAUACUUCGGGGGCCUCCUCGAACUCGAUUGUCCCCCCGAACCGCCGCCCGAUCGCUUCUUCCCCUUGUCUUGGGAUCCGGCCAACAACUCACGCUCCUCUCGCACAUGGGCAUCUCUAUGCUCUGCCCAUAACGCCUUAUUGAAAACCUCGGCGAAAGUCGUGAGCUGGAACAAUUGCACCGCUCUAUAUAUCCACGGCCGAAGUCCUCGCAAGAACCACUCAGCUCGAUCCGCGUCGUCCUUAACCACGUCCGGGACGCAGUCUAUAAUGUGGGAGAACUCUUGUUCGUAAUCCGCCACCGAACGAUCCCCCUGCCUCAAUUUGCGAAACCUCUCCUUUAGCUUUCGCUUCUCGGUGUCGGGGAAGUAAUUCCCAAACAUCUCCUUCUUAAACUCCUCCCAGAGCAUUGGUGGAAGGUCAGAGGGUCGAUCCCGCUUCAACCGCUUCCACCACACCUUGGCCGCCUUGUCGAGGCAAUGGGUGGCGAAAGGCACCUUAUCUUUCUCCGGGGUGUACAGGUCCUCGAAGAGAGUCUCCAUCGAGUCAACCCAAGACUCCACCACUGACGGCUCCACUUUCCCCCCUUCAAAAGUUGGUGGUUUAAACUUCAUGAACUUCAUCAGAGCCGUCAGCGCACACUCCCGCUCCACUUCGUCGACCGUCGUCUCGAGUGUCGCCGAACCCGAAGCUGUCGGAGGCGCAUUUGUCGGCGGGGGAACCGCUGCCAUCGGAACCGCCGCUAUGCCCUCACCCUCGGCCGCUACCGGCGUGCGUGCCGAAGGUGCGGGCGGAUCGCGAUCUCCUGCCGCCGUCGCGGCCGCCACCGCUGCCGCUUGCCGCUCCACAACUUCCUGGAGCUGCUCGAACCGAGCCUCCUGGCGCUGCAUCGCGCCCAACAUUGCAGCGACCUGCUCCCGCAGCUCCUGCACCUCCUCCGAUCUUGGCUGCUCGGGCUCCGCAGAAGGCGGCACCGGAGCAGACCUACGCGCAUAACGCCUUGGGGACAUUUGCUCCUGAAAAGCAACAACUCGGUUAGUUAUCUCAAUCCGAUAACCUUGCAACGUUCGCGAAUUUAAACGACUCAAUAGUAAAAUCAGGCGGAAGCUCGCAAGUGCUCUAGUGUCGGACUCUUAGCGUUGCGUCGUCGGCCGCCGACACAACCACUACGAGCCAAGAACUAGUGUCACUUGGAUCCGUCUCUAUUCACAGCUAGAGACACAACAUCAACCUGACCCAAUCACUCAACUCCCGCCACCGCCAUGGGUUCACGUUCACUCACGUCCCUAUAACCUUAGGGUUUACCAACUUAGGGUCUCCUAGGUUAUCCUAGACUCUCUCUUUACUUGCUCUGGUGCUCUGAUACCACUUUAUCUGUCACGCCCCGCGACCGCUACCAAUUUGGUCCGGCCCCGGGCGCGUCGAACAGACGCCGAACGGACAGGACCUCCCCUGUCCGUCCAAGGCUAACCAACAGAUCAUGUAUAAGAAUUUACCUAGGAAUCAAUUCAUAAAUACACGAUCAAGAAGCACCACCAGUGCAACAAUCAAUAGCAAGAUACAAGUAUAGAAACAUAUACAAGUACAUAAGAGAGAAGAGGCUAUCCAUUACAUUCAUUUGAUUUACUACAUUUAAGUACGUCUUUUACAUUCUUCCAAAAAUAUAAGUACAAGCACUCAAACCUCUCCGUAUACAACAUCUACUCUCAAAUACAAAAAGGGUGACAGCUAAUGCAAAAGGGAGGUAGCUAAUGCGACUAGAGCGCCUUGCCCUUACCACGAUCCUCACGCUCACCGGGGACGCCCGAACUAGAACCUGUAAAGAGUGGGGUGAGAACUAACUUCCUUAGUUCCCAGUGGGUUCGGCCGCCGACUCCGCCGAUCUCCCCACUAGGUCCAAGCGGGCACAAGUAGAUAAUCGAUAGAUAGAUAGAUAAGGAAAGCGGUAAAUGACAGAAGUAAAGCUACGCUACUAUGCCCAAUCAUAAAUAUAUGAAUGCAUGUACAAUGAAAUAGAUAAACAACUAACCCAUUAUCAUGCCCAAAGGUAAAGCUAUUUACUCGUUCAUCAAUCUCAUUUACUUGUUUUUUAAUCUCGUGGCUUCCCUGAAGGAUCCAAAUUUUACUUGUUUCCUUAAUCUCGUGGCUUUCCUCGAUGUUGCGCCGCACCUUUUGCCAGACUCGGAAUUUGCAGGUUUGCAAAUUUCUGAUCCCUGCUCCAAUAAGGUCGUUUGAAUAACGAAGCGCCAUCAGCUGAGCCCGGGACCCUCGGGAAGCGACCACUUCGAAGUCCAGUAACGUCCAUCUCCAGCCCCUAGGUGUUUGCCGGGUAACAUCCAAAAGCGAGGGUUCUUCGCCGACUUUCUAGCUAAGGUCCAUCCCGACUACAUUUGCUUUAUCCGGGGUGUGAGAAUAUCGACAUCAUAAUCCUUUAAUAGCUCUAGCCACCGCCUUUGCCGCAUGUUUAGCUCCUUCUGGGUAAAUAAAUACUUCAGACUUUUGUGGUCGGUGUAGAUCUCACUGUCACCCCCCGCGACCGCCUAUUUGGUCGGUUUCGGGCAUGCCGACAGACCGCCGAACGGACAGGGUUUCCCCUGUACUGCGGGCAGAGUCUCCCCUAUACGUUCAAGGCAUAGCAAUCAAUACAAUAUGCGAAGUUCCAACCAGGAACACAUUUCAAUCAAGAUUGCAUAAUGGAAGGUAUCAAACAACAUAAACACAUCCUAUAUUAUUACAUUCAUUCAUAUUCAUGCAUUUUACACCUCAACUACCAUUCCUUUUUCAUUCAAAUGCAAUCUAAAUUAUUACAACAUUUAUAUCUUUAAUACAUCAUGUUACAUUGUGUUUUUUUCAUUUCUUUAACCCCUAAGCUAUGUCGACGGGGUACUGCUAGCUCUGGUCUCUAGGGUAGGGCGCUAUCUACGGAGAUACGCCCUUUCCUCGCGCCGCCGCGCCGCUCACGUGCGAACCUGUAAACACCCCAAAACCACGUGGGGUGAGAACCAACUCCAUGGUUCCCAGUGGGUACGGCCACCCAAGGGAAAAGCUCGACUAAUAGGUCCAAGGGAGGCAACUGCAAGUUAGUUCAAUAAACAGAUAGCUAUAUAUCUUGAUUAUGCAACGAAUAAAACCAUGCAUUGCCUCACGAAUGCAAUAAUGCAAUGCUAUAUGCAAAUCAUGCAAUAAUGCAACUAUGCAACAAACUAGUAGUUCAUUCGAUACUACUUUCAAUUCUGCUAACCAUAGCUCAUCCGUUUGAUAUCUAAGGUUUCCUUUAUCUUAGAUUCUUGUCAAUCACCGUUUUAAUCAUAAAGUUUCAUCUACCUUUACAAGGCUAACCACCCGACUCGGUCUUGAGUUAAUCGUCUGCGGAGUACCGCACUAGAACAAGGCUCGAGGCGAUGGACGUCUCACUUACACCUCAGCCCUAAAUCCUCUCGACUAGGAUACCAAAUCCAUAACUCAUAAUGCAUACUUGUUUUACAUUCAUUUAGCUAUGACCCAAUCUUACCGGUUAACCAUGUUAACCCCAAUAACUCACCACCAAAAUCCCUUAAUAACGGGGGACUCGAACCUCCCUGGGGACCGUCAUCUGGGGGGACUUUACCACGCCCAGUGGUGACCAACUCCGGAGCGCACCGCCCGAGGGGUAGCUACCUCCCUCAAGCCAAGACGUAACGUGAGUAUCGAUCCAAUCCUCAACUUGAGGAUUCAUAGCCACUCGUUACAAUGCCAAUGUCAUGAUAGGUCUCUACCUAUUUAAUCAUGCAACUCUCUAUGUCAACUUGGACCAAUGUCAAUAUGGUUAAAUUAUAUUUAACAAUCACUUUCUUGAUGUCAAUCAUGUCUCUAUUGUCACUGUCACCUUUGUUUACUAAUGUUCAAGUCCAACUCUCACAUUUACACAAUAAUAGGGUCCUAACAUACAUGAAUGACACCAGAAUAUACAUGCUCAAUCACCACGAGUGUUUGCUAGGUUCAAGAUACUAGGUUUAAUGCCACUCGAUCUAAUAUAUAUAUAGAUUGUCUAUUACGUUUCACAACAUGGCAAUAUGUCAUCAAGUAUGUUUUUCUAUUUAACAUAAUCCACAAUAUGUAAAUUCAUAAUAUAUCAUCAUGCACAUAUACCACUAGCAUCACAUGAUAUGUCAACAUACAUAUAGUCAUUAUCCAAAAUAGUCCAUACUUAGCAUCUCAUGCAUUCUUUUAGCACUUAAUUCAUUAUGCAUUACAUUUAGCAUAUUCUACAACAUGUCAUCAUACAUUCCUUUUAUGAUGUUCUUAUAAUGCUAACAUUCAUACGCCCUUUAUAUUAUGCAUUCAAAACAUUAAUCAUAUGCAUUUCUAUAGUAUGUUAACAUGCAUUCUUUUCACAUUCUUAUAUUAUGUCAAUAUGCAUCAAUAUGAAAUCUCAUUUCUCUUAGACAUAUAGGCGACCUAGUCGCUUCGGUAAGUACAACCCACCUCAAAUCGCUUUCCGAUUGCUUGUCGACACUUACAAUCGGCCGCCCGCGGCACCCGGUACCCGGUUUGGCCCGAUCCCUCGCGCGACUACCUGAACGGCCUCCAAUUCACAAUCCGAAAAUUAAAGGUCUUCGGUUAUGUGCCACGAUGCUUCAAAUCCAUUUUCAUGAGUUUACGACAUCGGCUCGGCCCUCCAGGCGGAAACGAAGCCUAAACGUCCGUUUCUUUAAUAACUUCGCAACGGCUCGACGAAUCGCCGAACCGACUUCGCCAACGCGUUCGUUUACCUAGCAAUUAGGUUUACAUAGGGUCAAAAUAGAUCAAACCCAUCUAUUAGCAAAAAUUGCAUUUUGAACCCUAUGCUUCAUCUAUUGCAAGAAUUAAUUAAAUUGAUCCUAGAUGCUAGCAUUUAUCAUUUAUUUAGCAUGCUAGGAUCCCAAAUAAACCAUUUCUAUGGAUUAUAAAUGAAGCUUUAAAGAUCUACCAUGAGAGGGUUCAAAAAGCUCAUUUCAAGCCCUAGUUUACAACUAGACAAGAAAUCAUUAAAUCGAUCCGUGAUUUAAGCAACAAUCAUCUCUUUAGCAUGCUAGAUUAGCUCUAAAUCCAUUCUUGAAGCUUAAAACCCAAACUACAAAGAGAUACCAUUAAAGGGCAUCAAAGCUUACCUUGCAAGCAAGCUCCAAUGGAGAGAAAGAAGAUAAAAGAGAUGAAGAUCAACCUCCAAGCUUGCUUUUCCUCCAAUUUCAUCAAUUUUGGGAGAGAUUUAGAGAGAGAAAGGAGAGCUCUCUUCCUCCCUCUCCUUGCGUGUGUGUGGCGUGUGUGUGUGUGUGCAUUCGGCUGAGGAGAAGAAGAAGAAAAGGGAUUAAAUCCCUUUUUACAAAUCAGCCCCUCAACUUUUACACUAUUCACUCCCGGGCAGCUGUUUAGCAGUUCGGAACAGUUGGAGCCCUUCUAAAUGUCCAUUUGAGCUCAAAUUUGACAGGCAGGCUCAGUUUAAUGUACUGAGUAAGAAUAUAUCUUAAGUUUUCAUUUUCGACCCCAUUUGGUCACUGAAAACUGUGCCGAAUUGUAAUCUUUAUCAGAUAGCUGUCGGAUUUUAUUUCUCACUCUACGGGUGUCAGAAAAAUAUGAAACUUUAAAUCUAACCUCUAAAAAUAUUUCUGACUUAUCCUCCAAUUUUCAUAAUUUUCUGAUACUGUGCAUUUUCUGCUAAUUUAUCUGUCCCGUUUUCAACAAAAAAUUCUAGAUUUUCUGUUUUCAUUCUGAUUUCAGCAUAAGUCACUUUGACUUAUAUUUUACUUCUACAAAUCCAAUAAAAAUAGUUUAUCACACUAUUUUUAUUUAUUUUUAUUUUUAUAGCAAAAUCCGGUAUGUUACACUCGCAGUGUGCACCGUAUAGGUAAUGCCUCCACAACUUCAGCGCAAAGAUCACCGCCGCCAACUCCAAGUCAUGGAUGGGGUAAUUCUUCUCGUGGUCCUUCAGCUGACGGGAUACAUAAGCUAUCACUCUCCCGUCCUGCAUCAGGACACACCCCAAGCCCAGAUAGGAUGCAUCGCUAUAAACCACAAAGUCCUCGCCCUGCACCGGUAAGGCGAGUAUUGGAGCCGACGUCAAUCUUUUCUUCAACUCAUUGAAGCCUCGAUCACAUUCGUCGCUCCAAAUAAAUUUGACGCCCUUCUCAGUCAAACCGGUAAGCGGAGUUACAAUUUUUGAAAAGCCCUCCACAAACCGUCGAUAAUAGCCCGCUAAGCCUAUAAAGCUUCGGACCUCCGUGACGUUCGUCGGGCGUGGCCAAUUCUCGACCGCUUCGACUUUCCUCGGGUCAACCGAAACACCGCCCUCGAAAAUCACAUGCCCUAAGAAGGCAACCUCUCGAAGCCAGAAGUCACACUUCUUUAGCUUUGCGAAUAGCUUCUCCUCCCGAAGGAUUUGAAGCACCGUCCGCAAAUGCUCCGCGUGCUCCUCGUAGCUCCGCGAAUAGACCAAGAUGUCGUCUAUGAAGACCACGACAAAUCGGUCCAAGCACGCCUUGAACACACGGUUCAUCAGAUCCAUGAAUGCGGCCGGGGCAUUAGUGAGCCCGAAAGGCAUAACCGUGUACUCAUAGUGUCCAUAACGCGUGCGAAACGCGGUCUUCUGAAUAUCCUCCGGCUUGAUCUUUAACUGAUGGUAGCCGGAUUGUAGGUCUAUCUUCGAGUACACUCGUGACCCCUGCAAUUGAUCAAAUAAGUCGUCGAUUCGGGGUAACGGGUACUUGUUCUUUAUUGUGACCUUAUUCAACUCUCGAUAAUCCACGCAGAGUCGAAACGAGCCAUCCUUCUUGCGCACGAACAACACCGGCGCUCCCCACGGCGAUACGCUCGGCCGGAUGAACCCUUUGUCGAGAAGAUCUUGUAAUUGAUCCCUCAAUUCCCUUAACUCUGCCGGCGCCAUACAGUAUGGGGCUUUCGAGAUUGGCGCCGUCCCGGGAAUCAAGUCUAUAACGAACUCGAUCUCCCGAUCCGGCGGCAUCCCCGGUAACUCCGUGGGAAAUACAUCCGGAAAUUCCCGCACCACCGAUAAAUCUUCUAGUUUUGGUACCACCCGGUCCACCUCCACGACGGUCGCCAAAAAUGCCGCGCAACCGCCGCUGACCAACUUCCUAGCUCUCGUCGCCGAUACUGUCGCGACGAAGCAAGAACUCCGAUAAGCUCGAUAAACGAACUCCUUCUGUCCUGGCUCCCGAAAGGUGAUUGAUUUAUUCUUACAAUCAAUCGUGGCGUAAUACUUUGAGAGCCAGUCCAUGCCCAAAAUGACGUCAUACGCCUCUAGUUUAGUGAGUUCCAACAUCCGGAUGGGCAUUAUCCACUCACCUACUUGUACUGGGCAUGACGAGCACUCCGUAUAGGUAUUAAAUGAUGACUCGGGACCUCGACUCGCCACUUGCCACUUGCUUCUAUGGGUAUGUCAUGCAUGCGUGCAAAUGCUCUACUAAUAAAUGAGUGCGUGGCACCCGUAUCGAACAUAGCUCUGGAGCGAACUCCAUUGAUUAGAACCAUACCUGCCACAACAUCAGGCUCCUCGGCUUGGGCAGGCUCCUCGGCAUGGGCCUGAGCGGCGAAUACCCGUCCGCUCGGCGCUGAUCGAGUCACCUUCGGCUGGCGCGGCGCCAGAGCGCGUCCCGCUAAUACAGGAACAUACGGGGCCCCUCGUUGAUAAGGCGAGGGCACUGGAGUCGAUGCGACUGACGGAGUAGACGAGGCCCUUGCCGGACAGUCGCGGCUAACGUGUCCUUCUUGUCCACAAUUAAAGCACCGUCCUUGUCGUUGUCUACACUGCGGUGCCUGAUGACCUCGAUCUCCACAGAUAGGGCACCGUUGCGGCCCACGGCCCCACGACUGCGACCGCGGAUACUUGGGGGGCCUCCUCGAACUCGAUUGUCCCCCCGAACCGCCGCCCGAUCGCUUCCUCCCCUUGUCUUGGGAUCCAGUCAACGACUCAAGUUCUUCCCGCACGUGGGCAUCCCCAUGUUCCGCCCACAGCGCCUUGUUGAAAACCUCGGCGAAAGUUGUGAGCUGGAACAACUGCACCGCUCUAUAUAUCCAUGGCUGAAGUCCCCGCAAGAACCAUUCGGCCCAAUCCGCGUCGUCCUUAACCACGUCCGGGACGCAGUCUAUAAUGUGGGAGAAUUCCUGUUCGUAGUCUACCACCGAACGAUCCCCCUGUCUCAAUUUGCGAAACCUCUCCUUUAGCUUUCGCUUCUCGGUGUCGGGGAAAUAAUUCCCAAACAUCUCCUUCUUAAACUCCUCCCAGAGCAUUGGUGAAAGGUCAGAGAGUCGAUCCCGCUUCAACCGCUUCCACCACACCUUCGCCGCCUUUUCGAGGCAAUAGGUGGCGAGGGGCACCUUAUCCUUAGGUCCUCGAAGAGGGUCUCCAUAGAGUCAAUCCAAGACUCCACUGCCGACGGCUCCACCUUUUUCCCUUCAAAAGUUGGUGGUUUAAACUUCAUAAACUUCAUAAGAGCCACCAGCGCACAUUACCGCUCCACUUCGUCGGCCGUCGUGUCGAGGUGUCGCCGAACCCGAAGCUGUCGGAGGGCGCACUUGUCGGCGGGGGAACUGCCGCCAUCGGAACCGCCGCUAUGCCCUCACCCUCGGCCGCUACCGGCGUGCGUGCCGAAGGUGCGGGCGGAUCGCGAUCUCCUGCCGCCGUCGCGGCCGCCGCCGCUGCCGCUUGCCGCUCCACAACUUCCCUGGAGCUGCUCGAACCGAGCCUCCUGGCGCUGCAUCGCGCCCAACAUUGCAGCGACCUGCUCCCGCAGCUCCUGCACCUCCUCCGAUCUUGGCUGCUCGGGCUCCGCAGAAGGCGGUACCGGAGCAGACCUACGCACAUAACGCCUUGGGGACAUUUGCUCCUGAAAAGCAACAACUCGGUUAGUUAUCUUAAUCCGAUAACUUCCUCAAUGUUAACGAAAUUAAACGACUCGACAACGAAAUCGGGCGGAAGCUCACAAGUGUUCCAGUUCUGGACUCUUAGCGUCGCGUCGUCGGCCGCCGACACAACCACUAUGAGCCGAGAAACUAGUAUCACUUGAAUCCGUCUCUAUGCACGGCUAGAGACAUAGCACCAACUUCGACCCAAUCAAUCAACUUCCGCCAUCGCCAUGGGUUCACAGUCACUCACGUCCCUAUAACCUUAGGGUUUGCCAACCUAGGAUCUCCUAGGUCAUCCUAGACUCUCUCUUUACUUGCUCUGGUGCUCUGAUACCACUUUAUCUGUCACGCCCCGAGACCGCUACCAAUUUGGUCCGGCCCUGGGCGCGUCGAACAGACGCCGAACGGACAGGACCUCCCCUGUCCGUCCAAGGGUAACCAACAGAUCAUGUAUAAGAAUUUACCCAGGAAUCAAUUCAUAAAUACACGAUCAAGAAGCACCACCAGUGCAACAAUCAAGAGCAAGAUACAAGUAUAGAAACGAAUACAAGUACAUAAGAGAGGAGGUGCUAUCCAUUACAUUCAUUUGAUUUACUACAUUUAAGUACGUCUUUUACAUUCUUCCAAAAAUAUAAGUACAAGCACUCAAACCUCACCCUAUACAACAUUUACUCUCAAAUACAAAAAUGGUGACAGCUAAUGCAAAAGGGAGGUAGCUAAUGCGACUAGAGCGCCGGGCCCUUACCACGAUCCUCACGCUCACCGGGGACGCCCGAACUAGAACCUGGUAAGAGUGGGGUGAGAACUAACUUCCUUAGUUCCCAGUGGGUUCGGCCGCUGACUCCGCCGAUCUCCCCACUAGGUCCAAGCGGGCAAAAGUAGAUAAUCGAUAGAUAGAUAGAUAAGGGAAGCGGUAAAUGACAGAAGUAUAGCUACGCUACUAUGCCCAAUCAUAAUAUAUGAAUGCAUGUACAAUGAAAUAGAUAAACAACUAACCCAUUAUCAUGCCCAAAGGUAAAGCUAUUUACUCAUUCAGCAAUCUCAUUAACUUGUUUCUUAAUCUCGUGGCUUUCCUGAAGGAGCCUACUGCUCACUAGCCAUCUCAAAGGUAGGGAGGGUCAACUCGCAUUACGAACCGAGACCGUCUGCCGGGGCCUAAAAUAGGCAAUCCCUUGGGACCCAAAAUAGGCAAUCCCACAUGACCAACAUCCGGAGCGCACUACUUGUGUGGGGCUUCCAUCACAAGAUUUAGAAACAGACCGUGAGCAUGAUCCAAUUCUCGUCUCGAGAAUACCCUAUCCUCUAGGGUUAUAAUCAUCAUAUAGUCCAUAGGUCUCACAUACACUACGACUCAUAUGUGUCAUUUGUUCUUUUGCUUACUAUCAACGAAAUUGCCACUCGUCCAUUGUUUACUAUCGACUAGAUGCCACUCGUUCUUUGUUCAUUAUUAGACCGACCACUGAGCCCAUCACUUUCUCUGCACUAUAGGAUUCACAAGUCUUGACCCAAUCCUUAUCAAUCCACUAUAUCAAGUAUCCAAUGCAUGCUACAAUAUCAUCAAGGAAAGCAUAAGGAAAGGCAAUGCACAAUCAUCCUAUAAUGCAAUAAUACAAGAUGCAGAAUCGAACUGUACUAAGCCAUAGAAGGGAGCACGAUUGCUUCGGGAUGGACACCACCUACCUCUUGGCGAUGCCGCGAUGGUAGAAAACUCGACGCUGCGGUCUUUGCACGUCGCUUCAACUCCUCGGGGCGAAGCGAGCCCUCGAGUACUCGAUUCGGCGAUAACUCCGCACUCGCUCGUCGGAUCGAAAGACCGACUUCGCCGACACGUUCCGGGACCUAGCAAUUAGGUUUCCGACCUAUUAGAUUAGAUCAAAACCCUAGAUUUCCAAAAUCCCCAAUUCCGUGCCCGAGAAUGGCAACAAGGGAGAAAUCCGUGGUGCGAGCUUCGAUUGCGAGCCCGAACCAUCUAUUCAUCUCCUCUAGGUUCCAUUUGAACCAAUUCUAAGCAAUAAAACCCAAUCCUAAGAAAUCUACUAUGAGUGGGUUUGGAGCUUACCUCUAAGCCAAGCUCCAAGCUUGCCCUAGCUUGAAGGAGAGAGGGAAGAAGAUGAUCUUCUCCUUCUUCUUGAUCUUCUCCUUUCCUUUUCUCUUCUUUUCCUUCUUCUUCUUCUUCUUAUUCUUCUUCUUCUUCUUCUUCUUCUUCUCUUUCUUUCUAGAGAGAGAGGGAAAGAGUGUGAGAGAGAGAGAGAGCAAAUGAGAGCAAUGAGGGAAAGAGAGGGGUCCCCCACCUCUAUUAACGGCCAUUUUGCAGAUAGCCCCCUCAACUUUUCAUCCUUCCAACCAGCCCUCUCUGGGCAUUUUCGCAGUGAGGGACCGGUCCCAGCUCGGGGAGACCGGUCCCCGAAGGCUGCCAUUUCGAGCAGAGGGGUUUUCGCGUUCGGGAACCGGUCCUUGCCUGAGAGACCAGUCCCCGGGAGACCGGUCCUUGUCCGAGAGACCGGUUCCCGAAAGUUGGAUUCUCGGGACUUAGCCAAAUUUCGGCUAUUCACGCUGGGCUGGCGUUCGGGAACCGGUCCCUGCCUGCCAGGGACCGGUCUCAUCAGAGACCUCCGCAGCCCAGCCUGAUGGGACCGGUCCCUCCCUGCCAAUGACCGGUCCCCGAGAGCAUUUCUGCUCCAGUGCAAGUUUUGCACUGGUGCUCUCGCGGACCUCUCCUUAAUGCACUUUAUGCAUUUUAGCCACCUUCGGACUUUCCGAAGCUUACACACUCGACGAAUAGUCGAUUCCAAACCGAAGUCUAAUCCUCGGAUUUCGAGGAUUCACUUCCUUACAAUGUUAGUAUUAUAGCAUUCUUGCAUGUAGGGAAAUGAACGGUAUAUAUAUUGAUUGUAUCAAUUAUCUGCUUAAUCUGCUUAAGAUUAUUGUAGGUGUUAUAGAACCAUGUGAACAAGGAAAAUGAAUGACCCUACUAUGUGUAUGUGAAUGCGAGAACAGACUAUGACAAUAGUAAACAAAUGUUAAAUUGACAUUAGUGACUCGAUUGACAUCGAAAAGUGGAUAGUUAAACAAGGCUUAACCCAUAAUGGCAUUAUGAGUAGUGUGGCAUCGAGGUAUUGAGGCAUGAGACAGGUUUGGCUAUACCUCCUCAAAUUGAGGGUGGGAUCAUACUCACAAGUAUUGGUUCCGGCUUGUGUGGAAGGUCGCUCCUCCACAAGCGGUGUACUCCGGAGUGUAAGACACCACGGGUGAAAGUGCUUGGCGAAGAUCCCUCGGGUGGUUAUGCCUUGUGCCUCCCCCGGUAGAUGGGAUGUGUGGAUUGUGAGUCCGGGUAAACCAGGAGCACCCCGUGUUGAUUGGGUAAAGGCCAAGGAAAAUAAGAAAUGGACAUGCAUGCAUAAUUAACAUGUAUUCGAGUAUGAAUAUCUAUCUGUGGAUUGCUUUCUUGCAAGCAUUGUAUUAGAAUUGCAUUAGUUGGUUCGUUAUCCAUCUUUAUUGAAAUACAUAUGCCUAAAAUAGACCUAGUGGACGAAUCGGCGUGGUCGGCAGCCGAACCCACUGGGAACUUCUUUCUAGUUCUCAUUACCACUAACCCUGCAGAUCCGAGCACGUGCGGGGCGGUGGAGGAUCGCGGCAAGGGUAUCGUACCGUAGAUAGCGGCCUCGGAGUUGAUAGGCAUACCCUACAUUUUGGAGUACUCAACUAUUGUAUGUUGAAUUAAUAAUGUAAAAGUAAUGUAAUUCAUAUAUUUUGGGUUAAAGCCAAUGUGAUGUAAAUGUACUGGUAUACUUGUGUUUGGUUCAAAUGCAAUCAAAUGACAUGUUUGUGGAUGAAUGCAUAGCCUAGUUUCGAUGCUUUCACUUGUGGUUUUUGUUUGCCCUCGAGCAAACCUUGUAUAUCUUGCAAUCUUUUUAUUGUAUUGCUUGUUUUAUACAUGUUGUUGGAGCCUUGGGCGGACAGGGGUGGUGCUGUCCGUUCGGCGUCUGUCAUGUGCUCGAAUCUGACCAAAUCGGAGGAGCUCGGGGCGUGACACCAAUUGAGUGGAUUUAAGGCUGAGGUGUAAGUGAGAUGUCCUUUGCCUCGAGCCUGACUUUGAGCGGUAUUCCGCGGAUGAUUGACUCAAGACUGAGUCGGGUGGAUAGUAUUGUAAAGAUAGAUAAAACCUUAUGAACAGAAUUGUCAAUGACAUGAAUGAAAGAUUGAGGAAACCUUAGAAGUCAGUUCGAUGAGCUAUGGAUAGCGGAAUAAAAGUAGAAUCGGGUGAUCUACUUAGUUGAUUUCAUUGUAUGGUCGCAUGAUUGCAUAUAGCAUGUUGUGAGGCAUAAACAUGAUAACUGUUAGUUGCAUGAAUUUAUAUAGAUCUAUAGAUAUUUGUUGGACUAACAUGUUAUAGUGCCUCUUUCGGACCUGGUGGGUCGAGCUUUUUCCUUGGGUAGCUGUCACACCCCGGGACACAGCAUAGGCCCGCCCGGCGCGUGUCCAGACCCGCCAUAUGCCUGCGCAUAUAAGGCGUCUACAACAAAAGAGAUGCGAAAGCAAGAAGAAACAAGUAUCUAAAGAUAUCAGAGCUGCUAACAACUAAAAACUAGCGACAAGUAGAGAAAGAGUAAAGUAGUCCACUAAGCAUAAGCAUAAAAAGGUACAAUAAGAAUCACAAAGAAAUCCACAGUGGGGUGGUCUCUAUACAUAGAUAACUCUCCAAAACCUCUCCAAAAUAAAACAACGAGAGGUAGACCACCUAUCAACGCAUCCUCGAUAGCAAGCUAACUCGAGGCGAUACCCUUUCCGCGGUCCCUAGCCUCACCCGGAGUGGAAGGCUCUGAAAUAAAACAUAAAACAAAAAGGGCAUGAGAACUAUAAUUUAUAGUUCCCAGUGGGCAAUUACUGACCUCAGCUCAAUGCACCACUAGGCCCCAAAAGAAAGGGUCAGUAUGAUAAGCAACAAUAGUAGUAAUAGACAAUAAUAAGCUGCAGAAUUGAAAGCAUGAGUGAAAUGCUAUGCCACAAGUAAACGUGAUGUAUAUCAAAGCUAUCAUGUUUGAAUAUGCCAAUGUUGGAUGAAUACACUCAUCGGCUUCCAAGUAUACUAAGAUGCAAUGAGUAAUUCUAUCAAGUAUACUACAUGUUCCAAUAUCUCAAAGCCACACUAUGAGUAUGUCCAAUAAUCCAACUACUAUGAUCUAUUUAGCAGUGAUUCAAAUUUAAGAGGUUAUGUCCAAAUUCAAUCUUGUUUUGGGACCUACACGAGUGUAGUCCGGCUUGCGCCGCCUAAGUGUCGGUGGUAGCUCCAACAUUUCCACUCUGAAAAUGAGUCUAUCCCUCCCGACCCCGUAGUCUUCUCGAUACAGCACGAGCGAUCAUAAGUCGCGUAGGCCAACUCCGUAUCGCCGUGGGGAGCCCCGGUGUUGUUCAUGCGCAAGAAGGAUGGCUCGUUUCGACUCUGCGUAGACUAUUGAGAGUUGAAUAGAGUCACAAUAAAGAAUAAAUACCCGUUGCCCCGAAUUGACGACUUAUUCAACCAAUUACAAGGGUCACGAUUGUACUCGAAGAUAGACCUGCAAUCCGGCUAUCAUCAGUUGAAGAUUAAGUCGGAAGAUGUCCAGAAGACCGCGUUUCGCACGCGUUAUGGACACUAUGAGUACACGGUUAUGCCUUUCGGGCUCACUAAUGCCCCGGCGACGUUCAUGGAUCUAAUGAACCGUGUGUUUAGGGCGUGCUUGGACCGAUUUGUCAUGGUCUUCAUAGACGACAUCUUGGUCUAUUCGAGGAGUGACGAGGAGCACGCGAAGCAUUUACGGAUAGUGCUUCAAAUCCUUCGGGACGAGAAGCUAUUUGCAAAGCUAAGAAAAUGUGACUUUUGUCUUCGAGAGGUUGCCUUUUUAGGGCAUGUGAUUUCCGAGGGUGGUGUUUCGGUUGACCCAAGGAAAGUCGAAGCGGUCGAGAAGUGGCCACGCCCGACGAACGUCACGGAGGUCCGAAGCUUUGUGGGCUUAGCGGGCUAUUAUCGACAGUUUGUGGAGGGCUUUUCAAAGAUUGUGACUCUACUUACCAGUCUGACACAGAAGGGCGUCAAGUUUAUUUGGAGCGACGAGUGUGACCAAAGCUUCAACGAGUUGAAGAAAAGGUUGACGUCGGCUCCAAUACUCGCCUUACCGGUGCAGGGCGAGGACUUUGUAGUCUAUAGUGAUGCAUCCUAUCUGGGUUUGGGGUGUGUCCUGAUGCAAGGCGGGAGAGUGAUAGCUUAUGCGUCCCGUCAGCUGAAGGACCACGAGAAGAACUACCCCAUCCAUGACUUGGAGUUGGCGACGGUGAUCUUUGCGCUGAAACUGUGAAGGCACUACCUGUAUGGUGCGCACUGCGAGAUCUACACCGACCACAAAAGUCUGAAGUAUUUAUUUACCCAGAAGGAGCUAAACAUGCGGCAGAGGCGGUGGUUAGAGCUGUUAAAGGAUUACGAUGUCGAUAUCCUCUACCACCCCGGCAAGGCAAAUGUGGUCGUGGAUGCGCUUAGCAGGAAGUCGGCGAAGAACCUCGCUUUUGAUGUUACCCAGCAAACACCUUUAUGGUUGGAUAUAGAGCGAUUGGACCUUGAAGUAGUCGCUCCCGAGGUCCCGACUCGGUUGAUGGCACUCGUUGUUCAACCGAUCUUAUUGGAGAGGAUCAAGAAAUUGCAACCUACGGAUCCGAAUCUCCAAAAGGUACGGCGCAAUAUCGAGGAAGGUCGAGGUGGUGAUUUCAGUGUGGACGUCGGUGGCGCGUUUCGGUUUCGAAACCGGUGGUGCGUGCCCGAAAGUGAAGAGCUUCAUGAGCUGAUUUUGCAAGAAGCCCACCGGUCUCCAUACGCGGAUCACCCGGGCGGCACCAAGAUGUAUCAUGAGUUAAAAGCACUCUAUUGGUGGUCAGGGAUGAAGGCUGAUAUUGGGCACUUCGUGGCGAAGUGUUUGACUUGUCAGCAAGUAAAAGCGGAGCGCCGGUUUUCAGCGGGGAAGCUUCAAAGCCUACCUAUUCCCAUCUGGAAGUGGGAGGACAUAUCUAUGGAUUUCAUCGUUGGCUUGCCUCGCUCGACAGGGGGCCACGAUGCAAUCUGGGUGAUUGUAGAUCGCCUGACGAAGUCAGCACACUUUUUGCCGAUCCACACCACCUGGGCAGGAGAUAGAUUAGCGCAUAUCUUGAUGAAGUAGUGAGGCUACACGGGGUACCGAAGUCAAUCGUGUCGGAUAGAGACCCCAAGUUUACUUCACAUUUUUUAAAAAGCCUGCAGGAGGCCCUUGGCACACGGCUCGAUUUCAGCACUGCAUUUCAUCCCCAGACAGAUGGGCAAACGGAAAGAACCAUUCAGACUCUGGAGGACAUGGUGCAAGCUUGUGUCAUUGACUACAAAGGAGGCUGGUGUAAGUACUUGCCAAUGGCCGGUUCCCCUAAGGUCCUCACUGCGUGAGCUUUGAUGCAACCGGUCCCCUGAGAUGAGAGACCGGUUCCCGAACCUUGGUAUUUCUAUCGCUCAGCGAGGGACCGGUCUCAAUCUUGAGAGACCGGUUCCCGAACGUUGUGAUUUUGGUCACGCAGCGAGGGACCGGUUCCUCACUUGAGAGACCGGUCUCUCACAGACCGGUCUCCUCGAGAGGACCGGUCUCUGAGGACGACACAGGUUUUUAAAAAGGACUUUUUGCAAUCCUAGUCUACUUCUAAGUCUUCUAAACAUAUAAAUAAGCUAUGUGGGUCAUCUAAAAGUUUAAGGCUUUGAAUAUUUACUGAUUCUAAACCCUAGAAACUUGUUUUUCCGUUUCAAUGCAUCUAUUCACAUAGCGAGUUUCUAACAAUCAACUAUCAGCUUGAUUCUUCGUUUUUACUCGAGAACUCAUACGAGAAUCAAGUAGAUGUUUGAUUAAAGGUGAACCCUCAUAGCCUAUGGUAAUCAAAGAUUAAAUCACCACAAAUUUGUGAUUCUACAAGCUCCGGAAGGAGGUUCGGCGCGUGGAUCUCGCGUGAAGCCGAGGAUUCGGUGGACGCUUCGAGGAGUUGAGGCGUUGACGCUGCGAGGAGUUGCGGCGAGGUCGAUUGGUGGAUUCCUAUCGAUCGAGGACCGGCGAAGAACACCAUCAACAAGAAAUCGGUAAAUUGAGUCGUGUAUUUUUGUCAAAAUCACUUGUACUCAAGUUUUCUUAGUGGAUUUUCUUCGCGUGGUCGGUCCCGUGGGUUUUUCACUCCGAAUUGGAGUUUUCCCACGUUAAAUUCUCGGUGUGCUAUUUUUUUUUCUGCUAUCUAGUUUUAUUUGCAUCGAGAUUUUUGAGUUUGCCGGUUUUACACCUAUUCACCCCCCUCUAAGUGUUUCUUACCUUUUAGAUCAUCGGGAUCCAUAUCUUUCAAGUGGUAUCAGAGCGGGUAUAGGUUGUAAUUCAUGGCCGAGGGCGGUAACAUUAAUCGACCCCCUCUUUUCGAUGGCACUAAUUACGCUUAUUGAAAAGUCCGUAUGAGGGCGUUUCUUAUUGCUAUCGACGAGCGGGUAUGGCAAGCCAUUGAAUUCGGGUGGAAACAUCCUACCGAAGUUGUCGAGAAUGUUACCAGUCCGAAACCUAGAAAUAAAUGGACGAAAGAGGAAAACGAACUAUUUUUGUUCAAUGGGAAAGGUAUCAAUGCUUUAUUCAAUGCUUUAAAUCAAACUGAAUUUUCUCGCGUCUCGGCGUGUGAAACUGCCAAAGAGAUUUGGGACACUUUGCAAGUUACACACGAAGGUACAAGCUUGGUUAAGAUUCAAAAAUUGCAAAUGCUUACUAGUAGAUUUGACUCCAUUCGUAUGGAAGAACAUGAAUCUUUUACUGAGUACUAUACUCGUUUGCAAGAUAUAGUAAACACGUGUGCCAACUUGGGCGAGAAAAUUUUCGAUUCCAAAAUUGUUCGAAAAAUUUUGAGGACCCUUCCCGAACGAUUUCGUUCUAAGGUUGCGGCUAUUGAAACGGUUAAACAUCCUGAUGAACUCAAGGUAGAAGAAUUAGUAGGUGCACUUCAAACCUAUGAAAUGACCUUUCCUUGUAACUCGUCUUCUUCCAAGUCUUUUUCUAAGGCUUCAGGGAUGGCUCUAAAAUCAACAAAAGGAGAUAUCACUUCAACUUUAUCAGAUUCUGAGUCGGAGCAAACCCUGGAGGACUUUGGAAAGCAACUAGCGCUUCUAACAAAGAAGUUCCGUUGGAACUUUAGAAAGAAGUUUCCUCCCAAGUCUACUUCUUCCAAGUCAAGCAAAUCAAAAGGGGGUUCGUCUUCUUCUUCCUCAUCAAAAUACAGAAAAUCGGAUAACUUUCAAAAGGACUCUACAAAAGAGAAGAAAAGCAGUGAAGGUCAAAUUCAAUGCUACAAGUGUAGGGGCUUUGGCCAUAUUGCAUCUGACUGUCCUAAUAAAAAAUCGUUGAAGAAGAAAGCGAUGCAAGCUAUUACUUGGGACGAUUCCUCAUCUGACGAUUCCACUUCAAGUGAAGAGGAUGUAAAUGCUACGGCACUGAUUGCACAGGAUUCAACUUUCAUGUGUUUAGCAUCUGCUGAAUCUAUCUCUAUGUCAUCCCUACAUGAGAAGUCAUCUUCGGAGAACUCAUCAGAUGAAGAAUCGGACGAAGACGACAUGGUUGCAGCAUAUCAACAAUUGGUUGUUGAAUCAAAGAAGGUGGCUAAACAUAACAAGAGACUGCGGCGAAGUCUACAUGAGUUGGAACAAGAAAAUUCAAAAUUGGCCUCACUAACAAAGGAUCUAGAGCAAGAAAAAGAUGGUUUGACCAAGGCAUACAACUCUUUAUUUGAGAAGUGUUCGUUACUUGAAAAGGAAAAAGAGACUCAGAUGGAGAACAUCAAUUUUCUCACCAAGCAAUACUCGGAAGCUAGAGAAGCAAAUAUGGAAUUCACCAAGACGAUCAUUCAAUUGAAGUCGGAUUUGAACCAAUUUUUGUCUGGCUCAAGUAAACUAGACAAGAUGCUUGGACUUGGUCAAACAAACAAACUUGGACUUGGUUAUGAACGGACGUAUAUUGAUCAAGUAACGAAGAAAGAUGAUGGAAAUUCGUCAAAAACAGUUCCUAAACUUUAUGGUAAGUUCGUUCCUCCUAAAAAUAAUUUGACUAACAAAACUUGUCAUAUUUGUGGUGUUUUAGGACACAUAAAGAAGUUUUGCAAGCAAAAGGGAAAGAGCUCAACAACACCCUUGAACCAAAGAACAUCGCCCAUGAAGAUUAAUCCUAUAUUAAAAGGGAAGUCAAAUUGGACUUCAGAGAAGAUCGAUCAUAAGAAGAAACAAACGUGGACACCAAAUGCGCCGAAAUCAAUGGCAAAACAAGCAUGGAAACCAAAGAAGGAGGAUAUGAAGAAGAAGUCAAUUCAAAUCGUCGACAAGCCAACAUCAACAAAAGCAAGCAAACCGUUGCAAUCCAAAACACGUAAGGUUUGGGUGCGCAAAGGUGAACUCUUCCCAUACUUAGUCAUUCACACUUCGCUUCAUGCUUACGAUAAUACUUCAUGGUAUCUGGAUAGUGGCUGUUCCCGCCACAUGACCGGAGAUAAAAAUUGGUUUACUUCUUUGAACAAAAUCUCUGGAGGACUUAUUAUUUUUGGAGACGGUCGGUCAUCAAAAAUUGUUGGAAAAGGAACAGUGACUAUCUCAGAUGGCCCUACUUUGAAUGAUGUUUUCUAUGUUGAGGGGCUGAAAUCUAAUCUUGUAAGCAUAAGCAACUGUGUGAUGAUGGGUAUUCUGUGAAUUUUUCCGAUAAAGAAUACCAUGUGACUCGUGAUGACAAUCUUUUCUUAAAGGGCAUUAGAUCUCAGAAUAACUGUUAUGUAGUUCCUAAUUCUUCGACUGAACAUUGUAACUUAGCGUCAUUAGAAACUGAGACUUUAUGGCAUGAACGACUAGGCCACAAAAAUUUUAAGGAGCUAUCCAAGAUAACUAAGAAGGAGGUUGUCAGAGGUGUACCUAAGAUUGACUUUAAAGAGAACAUUGUGUGUGGGGGUUGUCAAUUGGGGAAACAAACUAGGUCCGCACAUAAGAAUUUGAAUCACUUAGGGACAUCUAAACCUUUAGAAUUACUUCAUAUGGAUUUGAUGGAACCAUUUAGGAUUCAAAGUUUGGGUGGAAAACGUUAUAUUUUGCUCAUUGUUGAUGAUUUUACUCGUUUUGCUUGGAGUGCCUUCUUACGAGAAAAAGCUGAUACUUUUGAUUCUUUUUCUGAAAUCUGUCUUCGUCUUAUGACUGAACGGAAUGAUAAAAUUGUACGUAUUCGAAGUGAUCAAGGGGGAGAAUUCAUAAAUUCAAAAUUUGUUGAUUUUUGUGUUUCAAAUGGCAUUAAACAUGAAUUCUCGGUUCCUUAUACACCCCAACAAACGGAGUGGUUGAGCGCAAGAACUGGGUUGUACAGGAGAUGGCUCGUGUUAUGCUUCAUAGUAAGAAAAUUGCUUUACACUUUUGGGCCGAAGCAGUGAACACGGCUGUCUAUGUUAUCAAUCGGAUUUAUGUGCGCUCGGGUACUUUGAAUACUCCUUAUGAACUUUGGCUUGGUAGGAAACCUAAUGUUAAAUACUUUCGUGUCUUCGGGUGUAAAUGUUUUAUCCUUCAGGAUCGUGAAAAUCUUGAAAAAUUUGACUCCCGAAGUGACGAAGAAAUUUUUCUUGGUUAUUCUACUACAAGUCGUGCUUAUCGUGCGUACAAUUUACGAUCUAAGACGGUGAUAGAAUCUAUUAAUAUAAAAGUAGAUGAAGCUUCUUCUGUAAGUUCUUUUGUGAAUGGUUCUUCUAACUCGAUGAAUGAUGAUGAUAAUGAUUCUCCGUUUGUAUUGCCUGUGAAUGAUGAUGUUUCUGCACUUGACAAUUCCAUUACAUCUUCUGAAAAUGUUGCUUCAAAUGAUUCAUCUGAGCCUCAAAUCACCUCAUCUGAAAUUCCAAGCAUAUCUCCUGAGACUACACCCCUGACAGAGUCGAGAGAUCAUCCGUUAUCGAAUGUAAUUGGGGAUCCUAAUGUUGGAGUGCGAACAAGAAGUCAACUACAAUGUGAAUUUGCAUGGUGUGUAUCUUUGAUUGAGCCAAAGAAUAUUGACGAAGCUUUACGUGAUGAAUAUUGGAUAAAUGCAAUGCAAGAAGAACUUGGUCAAUUCGUUCGCAAUGAUGUAUGGGAAUUAGUGCCUCGUCCUGAGCAACAACAUAUCAUAGGCACCAAAUAGAUCUUUAAGAAUAAGAAAAAUAAGGAUGGUACUAUUGUUCGGAACAAAGCGAGACUUGUUGCUCAGGGGUACUCACAAAUUGAGGGAAUAGACUUUGAUGAAACCUUUGCCCCGGUUGCCCGUCUUGAAUCUAUUCGUAUCUUGUUCACGAUUGCCUGCCAUUUUAAAAUCACUCUUUUUCAAAUGGAUGUUAAAAGUGCGUUUCUAAAUGGAUUUUUAAAGGAGGAAGUUUAUGUUGAACAACCGAAAGGUUUUAUAGACUCAAAAUUUCCAAAUCACGUUUUUCGACUGAAAAAGGCACUUUAUGGACUAAAAUAGGCUCCACGCGGAUGGUACGAACGCUUGACAAAAUAUCUUUUGGAAAAGAGCUACAACCGAGGGGGAGCGGAUAGAACUCACUUUGUAAAACACUUGAAGGAUAAUUUCAUUGUGGCACAAAUCUAUGUAGAUGACAUAGUUUUUGGGGCUACUAAAGAUAAGGAUGCCGCUGAUUUUGCAAAGUUAAUGACCAGCGAGUUUGAGAUGUCGAUGAUGGGGGAGCUUAAUUAUUUCCUUGGACUUUAAGUUAAACAAUCAAAAGAUGGAAUUCAUUUGUCUCAGACCAAGUAUGCAAAGGAACUGGUUAAAAAAUUUGGAUUGGACAAUGCAAAGGAUUUGACACUCCAAUGGGUAUAAGCAACAAAGGACUGGGAUUGAAUUCAGAAGGUCAGAGUAUGGAUGAGAAACAAUACAGAAGCAUGAUUUGUAGCCUAUUGUACUUGACUGCGAGCAGACCAGAUAUUGCGUUUAGUGUUGGAAUUUGUGCUCGUUAUCAGGCUAACCCUAAGGAAGUACAUCUGAAAGCAGUUAAAAGGAUCAUUCAGUAUGUUAAAGGAACAACUGAGUAUGGCCUCUGGUAUCCUAUGGGAACAUCUCUUGAUUUUAUCGGCUACUCUGAUGCUGACUGGGCAGGCUCCGCAGAUGAUCGGAAAAGUACUAGUGGAGCUUGUUUUUACAUUGGACACUGUUUGGUCGCUUGGCACAGUAAGAAACAAAAUUGUAUUGCACUUUCCACUGCAGAAGCUGAAUACAUUGCGGCCGAAAGUUGCUGUACUCAAUUGAUCUGGAUGAAGAGCUUACUAAGCGACUAUCGAAUCCCUUCCACCACCUUUACUAUUCUUUGUGACAACACAAGUGCCAUUAAUAUUUCUAAAAACCCUGUUUUACAUUCUCGAACAAAACAUAUUGAACUAAGAUAUCACUUUUUAAGAGAACUGGUUGAAUCAAACAUUUUAUAACUUGAAUAUAUUUCAACUGAAAAUCAACUUGCAGAUAUUUUAACCAAACUUUUGGAUCAAAAGCGUUUUCUGCAUUUAAGAAAGGCAAUUGGUAUGAAUCCUUCAAUCUAGAUAUAUUCUUGUGGGCUAUAGAUCAUAUGCAUGUUGCAUUUUUAUCUGCAUGUAUUCCGGUGUUUUCUGAUUAUACUUAAGAGAGGAUUGAAUUUCGUGAAUAAUAUUGCAUUUUUGGGAGAUGAAUUGGUCUGUGAUUUUAAUUAUUUCAUAUUUAAUUUUUGAUUGAUCACUGUCAAGGUUGUUCUAUAUUGUCAUAAUUGUUGAACGAUCAAAUCAUUGAGAUUCUGCUUUGCAUACUGAAUCAAAUUAAACACCUCAUGCUUCGAACUUUGAAUGUUGCUACUAUUUGUCUGAUUAUGAGUUUUGAGAUGAAUAACUUUUUCUCUGUUUUUGAAAUUGAAAUAAUAUUUUUGACUUGAGGGUUGCACUAAUUUAGGGGGAGUCUUUCCAAUUUUUGGUUAUUAAAGUUUCUGAGAUUCAAGAUGUGGAAAGAGUUACAUCCCUGCUGGGAGUGUGAAAACUACCACCACAUGGAGGAAAGAGCUACCACCCUGGUCGUCCGGUCAGUGUGUGCAGCUACCACAUGUUGAUUAAAGUAUCUAUAUAAGACAAAAGGAAAGUACCUUUCAGAGAAGAAAAAUUUAAAAAAAAUAUGCUCAAAGAGCUAUACAUCUUGUAGGUGAUAUUUGGUGGAAUGUCAAUAAAAAGAUGCUCAAAGAGCCACUCCUGUCUCGAAUAUUGUGCAUAACUAAAUUUGAACAUAUUAUGCUGAUUUCUCGAUUCUGAGGAUUAUUUAUUCAUUUUCUUUAACAAAAUAUGAUGGUAAAAUGAUACAAUAAGUUCCUAGAUCUUGCAUGAUGUGUGGAAUUUUAUUUUAUAUGUAUCAAAAAUUUUCAUUGAUUUUCGGGUCAACAAUUUUGUAAGUUUGAAUAUCCCUGAAAUUGAUUUUUCAAAAUUUAUUUAUGAAAUUUUGUUUGAAGUUUUUGGGCUGGAAAUUGGUUCUUUUUGAUGAUUGAACAUUGUGAAAUAUUUUUUAAUUUUUCUGGAAUUCUCGGGCCUCAGUUUAAAAUUUUUCUAAAAUUUCAGGCUCUGGGACCGGUCCCAGGUGGGAGAGACCGGUCCCUCCGCCAGACCCGAUAAAGGGCUUAUCGCACGAUCUGUUUUUGUACGCGUUUUUUUUUUUCUCCUGCUUUCCUCCCUGGCGCUUCUCUUGUCUCCAGAUCAGGGUUUCCUCUUGUUUCUCCUUGGUUUGCAUUGAUUUUAGGUAUGAUUUUCGGGUUUUGUUGCGUUCAUGUCAUAUACUCAGAAAAUGUGUCUCAUUUCAGAUUUUUUGAUGAUUGGUCUAGAGAUCUUGCUAAAAAUGCAUGUUUAUGCUUCGAUCUUGUUAUUAGACCUGUUGUUUUCAUAUUUUCUGAAAUUUCUUUAUCUUUUUGGUCAAGUUUUGUAGGUUUUUCAUCAUCAAAAUCUUGGUUUUCAAAGUUUUCGUGAAAAAUUUGUUUAUGCUGAUUUUGAUGCAUGAUUUGUUCAUGUUUCUCAUGAUUAUGUGGCCCCUAGGAUUAUUUCGUAUUUAUAUACCAAUUUGCUAAAAAUUUUUGGAAUUAAAAAAAAUAAAAUAAAAUACAUGUGUUUCAUAUGUAAAGUUCAUUAUGUUUAACAGGUGAUUUUCGAAAAUGUACUCGUGGAUUCUUGUGCUUGUUGUUCUUAUGGCUGGGGGUGGUCGCGAAAGCAAACGACAGCGCUCCAAAGCUAAACGGCCGAUUGAGUAUCAACCGGAAGAUGAAGAGAGCGAAUAUGCUCCAGGCGACGACUCUGAGGAGGAGGAGCCGGAUUGGGAGGCUUUUGUUCCCGAGGGGUUAGCUAAGGAUAAGGAUACAGGGAAAGGCAAGGGAAAAGGAAAAGCCGUGGAUAAAGGCAAAGGAAAGGCAGCUGAACGUCCAGGUCGUCGUAAGUCUGGAGGUGUUGACAUUAGAGAACACGGUUCUGAGCCUUCGCGUCACAGUCUACAGGAUGUUCCAUCUGCUCGACGGUCAAUGUACUCGUCGAAACACUGUAUUGGUGAGCGAGAUGUUGGAGUUGCCAGUAUCAUUAGCUGUGUGCCGGGAUUUCAGGAUUUAUUUGAACAGGGAAAUCUUCAUCAGAUUUGUGAUUUCCCGGAACAAACCGGUUUCUGUUUGGAGUUGAUCAGAGAAUUCUAUAUAAGAGCAGGUCACCUGAGUGACUCCGACGGCGGCCCGUACGUAUUUAAAACUUCCGUACGUGGUGUUGAGUUAUCAAUCACUCCUGAUAUGAUAGCGUCUGUACUAGGAAUGGAAGCAAGAACUGAGGGAGUGGAAUAUCUGCAGGCCGGGUUCGACUCACUUCGCGAUUGAAACCGUAUAGUGAACACUAUUUGCAUGCCGGGUACUGAGUCCAACGGAAUUAUGGUUAUGUCCAAAGAUUUCAAAAUGGAAUAUAGGUUUCUGAACUUCGUGGUUUGCUACAAUAUUUUGCCUCUUGCGAACACGAAGAUUCUGAGAUGGGAUCGUAUUCUGUAUAUGUAUCUCUUGGGAAGGCCGGAUAUUGUAAGUGCCAAAAAUAUUAACAUGAAUAUUCCGUUUCUGAUCUCAUGGAGAAUGGCAAAGGACAUCAAGACUUCUGGGCAAAAUGAAAGAAUGCCCUUUCCAUUGAUAAUUAUGAGGAUUCUGCGACUUCAUGAUGUGGAUGUCCGGUGUACAUCUUAUGAGCAUAGUUUGGGUCGGAUAAAUGAAAGGACAUUUGUGAAGUCCUCGGUGCAGCUUCAUACCCCAUCUCAGCGCGCUUCUUCCCCUCCUGCUGCUCCACCUCCUACUACUGCUACUUCUUCACGUCCUUCUAUGGACAUUUCCGAGGAAGAUAUCUCAGUUUCCUCUGUGUAUCGUGAGCAACAACGGUUGUCUGAGGAGCUUCAGAAAUUGUUUGCGGAGCAGGCUGCGAUACGGAAGGAUGUGAGCAAGAUGAAGCGAUUACUCAAUAUGAUUUUUGACAAAUUAGGGUGUUGCAGAGCAGAUUUACCCCCAGGGGAUGCUUCAGAUUAGAUGUUAUGGGUUUACUCCUUUUGUCGUUUUGGCGCUUUCUGACAAAAAGGGGGAGAUGAAUACAUGAUGAUGGAUGGCUCGAUGAUGAUGAAGCGUUUAGUUUAGAUUUGAUUUACUUUGCAUAAGUUGUGUAAAUUUAGUUUAGAUGUUUGCUUGGGUGCUUGACUAUGAACUGACUUGGUGACUUGGUACUAUUUUGAUGUUUAUGUUUGAUUAUGUUUGAUCUUGAUAAGUAUACUUGAAAGUCUGUAUUAAGGUUGUAAAAGUGUAAUUUUCAUUUAUUGGAUCGAUCAUGUAGGAGAUUAUCGUUUGGUGAUUGCGAUGAUCUUCUUUUUAUUAUUUUUGAGUUGUGUACGAACUUUGUAAUAUAUUUUGUCACAAAAUCGCCAAAGGGGGAGAUUGUUAAGGAUUUUAUAGGUUGGCGGAUUUCAUAAUGUUGAAUGGAGUCUUGAAGAGUUGAUUGCGGAAGAUUGAAGAAAAGAUCUAAAUUGAAGAACAAAGACUCACUCGUAAAGUUCGACACCUAAGGUAUGAAGAAAAGAUCAUUUGUGGUGAAGAUACUUAAUUAGAAUAAGUUCAGAAGGCUUAGAUUGCUUUAAAAAUAUUUUACUGAACUUUUCUGUAUUCAGGGACCGGUCCCUGAGUUCCAGAGACCGGUUCCCCUAAGGUCCUCACUGCGUGAGCUUUGAUGCAACCGGUCCCCUGAGAUGAGAGACCGGUUCCCGAACCUUGGUAUUUCUGUCGCGCAGCGAGGGACCGGUUUCAAGCUUGAGAGACCGGUUCCCGAACGUUGUGAUUUUGGUCACGCGGCGAGGGACCGGUUCCUCACUUGAGAGACCGGUCUCUCACAGACCGGUCUCCUCGAGAGGACCGGUCUCUGAGGACGAAACAGGUUUUUAAAAAGGACUUUUUGCAAUCCUAGUCUACUUCUAAGUCUUCUAAACAUAUAAAUAAGCUAUGUGGGUCAUCUAAAAGUUUAAGGCUUUGAAUAUUUACUGAUUCUAAACCCUAGAAACUUGUUUUUCCGUUUCAAUGCGUCUAUUCACAUAGCGAGUUUCUAACAAUCAACUAUCGGCUUGAUUCUUCGUUUUUACUCGAGAACUCAUACGAGAAUCAAGUAGAUAUUUGAUUAAAGGUGAACCCUCAUAGCUUAUGGUAAUCAAAGAUUAAAUCACCACAAAUCUUCGAUUCUACAAGCUCCGGAAGGAGAUUCGGCGCGUGGAUUUCGCGUGAAGCCGAGGAUUCAGUGGACGCUUCGAGGAGUUGAGGCAUUGACGCUGCGAGGAGUUGCGGCGAGGUUGAUUAGUGGAUUCCUAUCGAUAGAGGACCGGCGAAGAACACCAUCAACAAGAAAUCGGUAAAUUGAGUCGUGUAUUUUUGUCAAAAUCACUUGUACUCAAGUUUUCUUAGUGGAUUUUCUUCGCGUGGUCGGUCCCGUGGGUUUUUCACUCCGAAUUGGAGUUUUCCCACGUUUAAUUCUCGGUGUGCUAUUUUAUUUUCUGCUAUCUAGUUUUAUUUGCAUCGAGAUUUUUGAGUUUGCCGGUUUUACACCUAUUCACCCCCCUCUAGGUGUUUCUUACCUUUUAGAUCCUCGGGAUCCAUAUCUUUCAGGGACAGACGUAGUUAUCCCGCAGACAGCUCCGGGUGAGAGUAGCGGACGUCUCCUCGCAAUGCGGAGUUGGAUAUGUGAGUCGGGGCUUAACCUUCGGGUGAGCCGGAUGGAUUGGAUUAUGGAAACAAAGGUAAAUGGCAUGCAUCAUGAGCAUAGUAGAUACUAUUACUUGUUUACCUUACUUGUUCAUUAUUGUUCAUAUUGCAAAGCAUAGUAGCAUUGUAGAAUACUGUUUUAUCGCUAACCUAUCUACUUUUGCCUGCUUAGAACUAGUGGGAAAAUCGGCGGCGUCGGUAGUGGAACCCACUGGAAACUAUUUAUGUCACGCCCCGCCCCGAAACCACUACCCAUUUGGCACGGUUCGGCCGCGGCGGCGGAUUGCCGAACGGACAGCGCCUCCCCUGCCCGCCCAAGGCUCAACAACAAGAAUGUGUAUAAGAAUUUACCCAAGAAAUUAAAUUCUAAACAUACACAUUCACAAGGGCACAACCAGUGCCAACAAUACAAAGAGUAAGUAAUCCACAAGAUAAAGCAUGUGAAAUAAAGAGAGUACUUUACUAACUAUUACAAUAGUUUCAUCAUUUUUAUUUACAUCCUUUCUUUAAAUGUUUACAUAACUCAUCCAAAAUAAAUAGCUCUCCAAAAUCCUCACCUACAAUGAAUCUCUCUCAGUACAUAGGUGAACUAAUGCAAAAGGAAAGCAACUAUACUACCACGGUCUCACUGAUCGGGCGCGAUGCCCUUGCCGCGGUCCUCCUUCGGCAGCCCUGUACCUACCACUGGAAAUAGAGUGGGGUGAGAACUAUCUUCCAUAGUUCCCAGUGUCUGCCGAUCUCCCCACUAGGUCCAAGUGGGCACAAAUAACAACAGAUAGAUUCUAAGGUACCGGACUUCUAAAAUUAUGAAGUUACGGUGUACAUUUAAAUGGUCCCGGUGAGGUCCGGAAGCAUUCGGGCGUUUUCAGUACGCGUAGGAGCUAAAACGGAGCCGAAAGGCCAUGUUGGGCCGUGAGCCAAAUCCGACAUUAGCGUGGAUGAAAAGAUGAUGAAAAUAUGCUCGAAAACAUGUUUGGAGAGUCUUGGUUCGAUUUGAAAAGAAUCGGAGGUCAAACGAGCGAAAACGGAGAAAAAACUGUGAAAAAGCUAAAAAUUUGGCCAAGUCCUUAAAGGCUGGAAUUCUGGACCUACGGGGACCGGUCCCCCAAGUCCAGGGACCGGUCCCUAUACAAAAAAUGGCCCCUGCGGGGGCAAUGUAAUAAAAUGAAAGUUGAGGGGCCUAAUUGCACUUUGGGCUUUAUGAGAGUGUACAGAGAGGGCUCUUUCUCUCUUCCUCUCAUUUCCCUCACUCCAACACCACCUCUCUCUCUCUCUUAACGUGAAGAAGAAGAAGAGGAGAAAGAAGAAGAAAAGGAAAAGAAGAGAAGAAAGGAAAGAGAAUGAAGAAGGAGGAGAAGAGAAUCACCACCACCAUCAUCAUCUUCUUCUUCCUCUCAACCUUGGAACAAACCUAGAGAGGUAAGCUUCUAGGGCUCUAAUGGUAACUUCUUAGGGUUUGGUUUAU